RNAcentral lists this long non-coding RNA (46306 nucleotides) under Gossypium raimondii (Peruvian cotton). RNAcentral's name for it is "long non-coding RNA (GRAI_LNC007807)". Lineage: Eukaryota; Viridiplantae; Streptophyta; Magnoliopsida; Malvales; Malvaceae. The record is from RNAcentral.
AAUAUUGAUGCUGGAACUGAAAAACGCCACCAACAAUUGAAAGAAGAAGUGAGGAAGAUGAUUGUGGCACCAAUGGCUAAUGCAACCCAAAAGUUAGCCUUCAUUGAUUCAGUGCAAAGACUGGGUGUGAGUUACCAUUUCACCAAGGAGAUCGAAGAUGAACUAGAGAAUAUCUACCAUAACAACAAUGAUGCCGAGAACGACCUCUACACUACAUCUCUUCGAUUCCGACUACUCCGAGAGCAUGGAUACAAUGUUUCAUGCGGUAAUUAUUGGAACAACAACAUAGUGUUUUUAAGUUUCUUGAGAAUAUAAUAGCAUGGAAUGUUUGAUAACGAUAUUUCAUUUUGGGUAAUUUCAUCUCAGACGUAUUCAACAAGUUUAAAGACGAGCAAGGGAAUUUCAAAUCAACCGUGACAAGCGAUGUUCGAGGAUUGUUGGAACUUUACCAAGCUUCUUAUUUGAGGGUUCAUGGGGAAGAUAUAUUGGAUGAAGCAAUUUCUUUCACCACCAACCAUUUAAGCCUUGCAGUAGCAUCUUUGGACCAUCCUUUAUCCGAAGAGGUUUCUCAUGCUUUGAAACAAUCAAUUCGAAGAGGCUUGCCAAGGGUUGAGGCAAGGCACUAUCUUUCAGUAUACCAAGAUAUUGAGUCCCAUAAUAAGGCUUUGUUGGAGUUUGCUAAGAUCGAUUUCAACAUGUUACAAUUUUUGCAUAGGAAAGAGCUAAGCGAGAUUUGUAGGUAUGUUUUUUUAAUCUCUUUCACCCAUUUUUUCUUUUUCAUCUUUUUUAUUUAUUUAUUUUUUAGUGGAAGGAGGGUUGAAUUUAUUGGAGACAUCAUUCUCAAUAUAGGAGACGAGAUGCAAAUGCUAAUAUUUGAAUCUUAUUAAAUAGCACAAGUUAAAAGUGAUGGCAUCAACCUUGGAUUCAUCUUUUUCACCUAUAUCAUUUUAUUUAUAUAUAUUUUUGCCAAUUGACUUAAAUCUAACAACAUGAAUGUGAAACUAAUUGAAACUUUGAACAUAUAUUGUGCUAAUGGGGUUUUUUAUGAAAUGAUUUUUUAGGUGGUGGAAGGAUUUAGACUUUCAAAGAAAGUUGCCAUAUGCAAGAGAUAGAGUGGUUGAAGGCUAUUUUUGGAUCUCGGGAGUGUACUUUGAGCCCCAAUAUUCACUUGGUAGAAAGAUGUUGACAAAAGUGAUAGCAAUGGCAUCUAUAGUAGAUGAUACAUAUGACUCAUAUGCAACAUAUGAAGAGCUCAUUCCAUAUACAAAUGCAAUUGAGAGGUUAGAUUUCUUUAAUUUUGUUGGUAAUAGGUUAGGUUUCUUUAGUUGAAGUUAACAUUCAAUAAUAUAUUACGAGGAAUGAUUAAAUAUAACAUUGAAGUUGGAUUCAGGUGGGAUAUCAAAUGCAUAGAUGAACUUCCUGAAUACAUGAAGCCGAGCUACAAGGCACUAUUAGAUGUUUACGAAGAAAUGGAACAACUGGUGGCUGAGCAUGGGAGACAAUAUCGUGUCGAAUAUGCAAAAAAUGCGGUAUGUACAUCACCAAAUAUUUAUUUUGUACACAAGAGAUAAGAUAUUAGUUAAAUUAUAGAUUUGAAUAAACAACUAACUUGAAUAAUAAUAUAUAAUCAUUUAAAUAUUAUUUUUGAAUUUGAAUUGAUAUUCGUAAUAAUUGUUUGAGAUUUUGUUGCCUCAGAUGAUACGACUUGCUCAAUCUUACCUUGUGGAGGCCAGAUGGACUCUUCAAAACUACAAACCAUCAUUCGAGGAGUUUAAGGCUAAUGCAUUGCCAACUUGUGGUUAUGCCAUGCUUGCUAUUACAUCUUUCGUCGGCAUGGGAGAUAUCGUAACACCAGAGACCUUUAAAUGGGCAGCCAAUGAUCCUAAGAUCAUUCAAGCUUCCACAAUUAUUUGUAGGUUUAUGGAUGAUGUUGCUGAACACAAGGUAUAAUAAUAUAUUUAUAUAAUUACAAGAAACCGAACUCUUAACUAAAUAAUUGAGUGUCUUUGCAAUGAAAUCAAACGAUGGUUUUUAUCAUGAUCUGAAACAAUUAAAGUUUAAUGUUUAUAUAUAUAUAUAUAUAUAUAUAUAUAUAAUAUUUACUCUUAAAUAGAAGAAUAAGAAAAAAAACUAGUUUCAUUUUAACGUUACUAGAGAGGAAGUAUCGUAAAAAAAGGUAUAUAGUGAUUGAAUAAUUUUGAUUUUAUUACGGCUGCAGUUCAAGCAUAGGAGAGAAGACGAUUGCUCAGCAAUCGAGUGUUACAUGGAAGAAUAUGGCGUAACAGCACAAGAGGCAUAUGAUGUAUUCACCAAGCAUGUUGAGAGUGCUUGGAAGGAUGUAAAUCAAGAGCUUUUGAAACCAACAGAAAUGCCAACCGAGGUUUUGAACCGUAGCCUAAACCUUGCAAGGGUGAUGGAUGUACUUUACAGGGAAGGCGAUGGCUAUACAUAUGUUGGAAAAGCGGCUAAGGGUGGAAUCACUUCAUUGCUCAUUGAACCAAUUGCACUUUGAAAUUAUGUUAAUUUUUCCUCUCCAAGCUUGUUUCCUAAGAAAUAGUUAUUAAGUUCUAAUUAAUAAUGUUUUAUAAUAUUCAUAUAUUAUAAAAGAAAGUCCAAAUCUAUUAUCUUUGUACUUAUUGCCUUAUAUUAAUUCAAUAAAGUUCUUUCCAAACUUUUCAUUGUGAAUAUCUUCUAUUUUAUAUAUUAAUUGAUUUUUUUAUAUAUUUUUUUGGUAUAAAAUAAUAUGUAAUAUAAAAAUAAGAUCAGUUAUAAAUACCCGAAUUAAGAUUAAAAAAAAUCCACUAAACACUACCACCUAAAGUUUAUUAAGAUAAGUUUUGAAUUAUUUAUUUAUUUAUUUCGGUAUAUCAUUAACUUUGAAAAAUAAAAUAUUUGAGAAAUUAUUUUAUGAAUCUUUCCCACUACAUCAUUUAGGGUUUAUUUCCAUUUUUGGUAUAAUGACAUUUCAGCAACUUUUUCCAUAUCAUUAACAAAAUUUUGGUAUUUUUUUUAACCCUAAACCUUGAACCAUGAAUCUUAAAUCCCAAACCAUAAACCUUGAAUCUAAAACCUUAAAUCCCAAACCCUGAACGUUGACCUCAAACCCUAAACCUAAAUAUCAAACUCUAAACCCAAACUCAAACUUUAAAUCCCAAACUCGAAUCUUGAACCUUGAACCUUAAAUCCUAAAUUCUAAACCUUGAACAGUUUCUAGUUUGGGGUUCAGGGUAAAAUAAUUACCAAAAUUAUAUGUCAGUGACAUGAAAAAAUUACUAAAAUAUCAUUAAAUAACUGGAAAUGGACCAUAAAUAAUAUGAUCAGAAUGAUCCAUAAAAAAAUUUCUCCAAAAUAUCGAAUAUUAAUUUCCACUUAAAAGUCAACAAAUAUAUAACCAAUCCCAAAAAAUCAAUAGUGAAAUUCAAAUUUGUGUUACACAAUAUGUUGCAUCACAUGUAAUAAAUAUUGUAAAAAGAUAAACGUCUUUUUUAAGGAAACUAUCAAAUUUAACCAUUAGUAGAUGAUAAAAGUUUUUGUAAUCAAAUAAAUUAUAUUAUAAUUUAUGUUAUACAAAAUUUGGUAAUAAAAUAAAAUAUAUUAUAAUUUAUGUUAUACAAUGUAGUAUAAUAUAUAAAAAUAUUGUAAUGUUGUAGUAUAUUUUGUAAUGACUAUUUUCACCAACCAAAAUAUAUUAUUUAAAUUUGAAAUAACGUAAAUGUUAAGUUUCUAAUAUAUAAUAUUAUAUAUGUACGUAUGUAUGAGUCAAGUACUGACGGCUACCAAAACAAAAUGUUUUAAAUCAAAGAAAAAAAAAACAAUGAGUAUAUUAUAUUAUUAGUCACUAAAUUAUAAGUAAAUUUUUAUUUUGGUCACUUAAUUAAAAAAGUUACAAAUUAAUUACAAAUGUUUUCUAGAUUUUUUUUUUGGUCACUUGACUAUUAAGUGACACUUUUUAGUUAGUAUAAUUACAAGUUUGGUCCUUGAUUUUUAUACUUUAUGUCAAUUUGACCCUAAUGAUGUAGUCGUAAACCAACUAAAAAUCUGACUAAGGCAAGUGUACCUAUCAAUUAAUAGUAUAGCUACGGUGAGCAAAUAUAUCGUUCCCACGAUGACUAAAAGUAGUAGAAAUUACUAUCUUUGUAUUAUUUAAUCGAUAAAUUCGAAUGAUUGAUUGAAAAUUAAAAUUAUCUAAACUAAUUGCUAAUGAACACGAUAAAAAAUAAUUAAGGAAAAUAAACGAUUAACAACCAAGAAGCGAAACAAUACCCAAGAAAGAAUUCACCUAGGUUUCAUCUGUUAUUAUCAAUCUAAAUUACGUAAUUUCUUCACUUUGUAUCUUGAUCUGUAGAAAUCCCUAAAUUAUGUUAAUAUCUCUCUUCAAGACUAAGAGCAACUGACUCUAGGUUGAUUAAUUGAAAUUUCUUUCUAAUUAAAACCCAUAUUACUGCAUUAACUCAAUCUAUGAAUCCCCCUAUUAGAUUUCACUCUACUGUAAUAUAUUUAUGUCGUCCUGUUUCUAGGAUUGCAUGCAACUUCACUCAAUUAUGCUAGAUCUACUUUUAGACAAGGUAUAUUCCUCAUCUGAUUUAAGCACAUCAAACAUGAAUUAAUAAUUUAGAAAUAUCAAACUAAGAAUUAAGCACACAUAAUUGAGAACAAGUGCAAUACCCCGAAAAUUUACUACAUUAAGAAAGUAAUAUAAUAUCCCUGAUAUAGUAAAAUAAGGAAAUAAAGUGAAAAAGGGGUAAUUUUGAGUUAUGUCAACAUUGGGAAGUAUAUUAUGACAUAUUAAUUCAAGAAAGGAUUAAAUCGUAAAAGUGAGAAAAGUUUUGUUGCCCAAGAGUAAAUAUUCAAAAUUUGAGGGGUUAAAAUGUAAAUAUGAAAAAGUUGAAGGACCAAUAGUGUAAAUAUUUUAAGGGUGGAAUGAUCUAGAAAUUAAGGAAAAUGGAUGAAUUGGGACCAAAUUGAAUAGGUGAAGAAUUAUGAGGACUAAAUCAUAAUUUUACCAAAUUAAGUGAUGACUCAAGGAUGAAAUUUUAAAAGAUCAUAAAGGGCAAAAUGGUGAAUUAGAAGAAAGAGAAAUCUAGAAGAAAAUGAUGAUGUUGGAGAUAUUUUAGAUUAAAUAAAUAAAUAAAUAAAUAUUAGUUUAUUAAUAUUUUAAUUUGAUUUUUAAAUGAUAUUUUAUUAUUUUAUUAUUAUUCUAUUUAGUAUAUAUAUGGAAGGAAAGAUGAAGAAUCAUCUUCUUCUUCCCAUGCAUCAAUGUAUGAAGAGAAAAGAAAGAAAGAAACUUUCUUUUCUUUACAAUUUGGUCCUUUCACCAAAUAUUCGCCAUUUUCACUUAGAAAUCAAAAAAAUUUCCAUAUCCAUCAAGAGAGAAAGAUAACAAGGAGACUAUGGGGAGUUAGAAUAUCAAGUUAGAUUCAAGCAAUAGAAGCUGGGGGAGAAAGAAAAUCAAGUUAAAGUUUGAAACUAAGAGGACAAGAUAAGAACAUCAAGAUUUCAAUAUAUUUUGAAGUUUGAUAUUAUUGAAAAAGCAUGAAAAUGAUGUUAUAGUAAAGUUUUCUUAUAUAAGAUCUUAUGUUCUUGAUAUAUUAGUGAAGGGAAAUAAGUGAAAGUGAUGGGAAAUAUUAUAGAGAAAGGGAAUAAGGGAGUUAUAAACUUAGUAAUCAACAUCUUGCACUAAAACAGUUUUGGACAGAAGUAGUACGUUAAAUUUGAAAAAUCAUCAUAAAUCGUAGAAAUCGAAUUAGAGGAUGAAAAAAUAUGGAAUUAAAGCUUAUUGAGUCUAGUUUUUCAUAAAAGAAACAGUGUAAGUAAUAGAAUUGUAAAUCAUGAGAUAUAAUAAAUUUUUUGAGACAAGGUCAGAAUGAAUUCGGGUUUCCCUAUUCUGACUUUGGAAAAUAAUUAAAAAUUGUAUAAAAAUAAUUGUGGGUUAUAAUUUAUAUGUUUAAAAUUAUUAAUGAAUCUACCCUCAGUAAAAACAAAUGGGAACAUCAUCCAAAUCUCGUACGAGGAGAUAAUUAAUUUUUAGUGAAGAAGGGUUGAAACUGUCAGACAGCAGAACAGGGAUGCCUUUAAAGAAUAAACUAUACUUAUUGGCUAAACCAUAAAUUCUGAAAAGUUUAUGGUAAGAAUAUAUGUGAGUUUAGUUUCAUAUAAAUUUAGCAGAUCUUAAUUUGGAGUUCCGUAGCUCAAGAUAUAAAUAAUUUAGUGACCAUGACUCAAGUGGACAGCUUUGAAUGAACAUAUAAAUAAAUAGUGAAAUUAUAGAUAAUGUUACAUAUAAGCAUGUUAUAAACAUUAAGGAUGUGGAAUGGAGAGGAAGAGGAGGAAAAUAUAUGAUUAUUCAACUAGCAUGAGUUUUCAUUAAAAAUGGCUAAUUUGCAUGCUUUAGGUUUAGGGACUAAAUUGAAUAAAAGUAAAAUUUUAAGGGUAGAUUUGUAAAAAUAUCAAAAAGUGACCAAAUUGAAUGAAAUAUUAAUUUAGAUCUAGAUUGGGUGGAAAUUCGAGGAAAAUAAAAAUUACCAAAAUGUCCUUGAAUUUUGGUAUUUUUGCAAUUUAGCCUGGUAAGUUCGUAUGAACUAUAUUCUGUAUAAUUUUAAUUAAAGUGAAUGUUAUUUGGUGAUGAAUAUUAUAUAAAUAUGUGUUUUAUUAUUGGAAUUGAAUUAUUAUUGGUAAUAUGUAUAAUUAUUAGAUGCAUUGAAAUUAUUAUCGGAAGCUCGAUUGGGUUGGAAGCUUGUCGGAGAUAUAUCACACUAUCCAUUGGUUCUAUCGGUAAUUUUGGAUGAUUUGAUUCUGGUUAUAAUGGAAUGUAUAAGUUAAAUUGGCCAACGUUAGCUCAUUAAUGUUUAGAUUUUAAUUGGUUAUAAAUAUGAAUGCUUGAUAAAAUGAAAUGUCUGUAAAUUAAUUUGUAAACUCCAGUAAUGCUCUAUAACCCAAUUUUGGCGAUGGAUACGGGUUAGGGGUGUUACAACAAGAUCCAAGUAUUUAUUGCAUAAAAAUAGAAAUCAAAUAACAGAAUCUAUCUUAGGGUUCAUCUCCCUAGGUAUUUUGAAAAUUAGUUCAUGAUAACAAAUAAAAACAUUCCAAAGACAAUAUAACCACAAGAAAUAAAGAAACUCUUAAUAAACUUCAAAGAAAUCAAAAGGAGAUCUUUAAUCCUGAUGGAAAUUUGCUUCAGAGUCAGCUUCAAUGGUGUUUUUCGAGUUAUUUUCUUGAGUAUUUAAUGAUAGUCCUCUCCCAUCUUCUUAUUUUUGUCAUGUAUAGGUCUUAAAAUGUUCGAAAAACCUAUAAAAAAAUUUCUCGCGAGUUUGGAGUGCGAUUCGCUAUUUCCACACGGGUUGGCACAUGACCGUGUGGCAACUCAUGUGGCUUAGAUGGUCAUGUGUCCAGCCCAUGUAGAACGAUCUAGCUUGUGUGGCUCCUAAAACCUGUUCUGAUUUUCGCUCCUUUCCAAAUGCUCCCCUAAAUAUAAAAACAUGAAUUUAAAGGAUUAGGAAUAAAAAAUUCACCAUUUAAAUCGAAUAAUCAUCCAAAAACCUUUAAUGUGCUUUAUAUUAGUUUAAUUCUACUUUAUAAUUUGUUCAGGCAUGUAUUUGUGAUUAUACUAUAAUCACACCGUAUUGUACUUGUAAACUAAAACAAAAUUUAUAAUUUCAUAUUAUUUUUUUAAUAUUAGUUUUACAUCCUCACUCAUCAAGUAAAUUUGGGUUAUAAUUAUUUGAUUAUUGAGCUUCUGAAGAUGAAUUUUUUAGGCAUAAUGACUUAUUUGAUCUUUUAAAUUUUUUUUUAAAAAGUCAUUUUAGCCUUCCAUUUAAGUUUUUGUCUCGUUUAGCUGUUAAAUUUGCGUUUUCUACCAAAUCACCCUAAAAUGGAUUAAAAAGCUAAUAUAUGUUAACUUUGUUAGCAUGAUUGCCAUGUGGAUACUAUCUCAACAAUUAAUUUUUUUAAAAAUUUAAUCAUAAAAAAUCAAAAAUCCAAAUCCAAAUUAACCAAAACCCGAAAUAUUUUGAACUUAAAAUGAUUUUAACGAAAAAAGAAAUUAAAUCUAAAAUGAACCGACCAAAAAACCCAAAACCUCAUGUUUAAAUUAUAUGAAUUUAGAAUUAUUCAAAUCAAAAUUCUUAUUCCAAAAUUAUUCAAAUCUAAAAAUUUUAAACUAAAAUAUCCUAAAAAUGUUAAAACUCAGAAUUAAUUGUUCCAAAUCACCCGGCCGCUCAACUGAAUGAUCUAAUUAUAGGUAAUAAUUGAAGCUUGUUUAAUUACUAAUUGUUUACUAAUUGUUUUACGAUUUUUGUUAAGUUAAAAGAUAAUUUAUUAAUUUUAUAUGAUCCAACAUAGAGGUGCUCAUGGGUUGGGCGGCCCGGCCCGACGGCCCGCCCGAAAUUUGGGAGGGUUCGAGUAAAAAUAUAGGCCCGAAUUAUGGGCUUGGGCAAAAAAUAAGGCAAAAUUUUUUUGGCCCGGGCCCGGCCCGGCCCGGCCCAGAUCUAAUUAAUAUAUAUUUUAUUUUUCAAUUUUAUUAUUACAGUUACAUUUCCCAAUUCCCCUCCCCAUUUCCCAUUUCCCGACCCCGUGUAUCUGUAAAUCCUUAACCCCUUCCCUCCUCCCUUUUUUUCCCCCAAAUCGAAAACCCACCUCCACCGAUCCACCAUUCCACCUCCGGUGUCCGGUCCUCCACAACUCCACCUCCACUCUAGCCUUCAACGUGGUAGAAUUUCAAAGGUAAGUUUGCUUUUAACCCUAUUUCUUGUUAACGGUUUUCUAAUUUUUCAACGUCUUCUCCCCUUUUUGCUUUUUGAUUUUGAUUGUGAUUUUGAUUUUUGCUGUUAACGAUUUUCUGAUUUUGAUUUUGAGACACUGAAUCUUGGGGGAUUUUGAUUGUGUUUACACUUUACAUAUUGUUCUAUUUUUUUUUAGUUCUUUUGCGGAUUAAUGUGAUUUUCUUUUCUUGAAUGAUGAUUGUUCUUUUGUUGCAAAUUCGUUCUUUUAUUAAAACCGAAAAAGGAAGAAAAUCAAUAGAAUUGGAUUUAGGGUUUAUGGAAUCUAAAAAAACUGAAAAAAUAACCCUCCAAAUUGACUGCUUAAAUUAAACUAAACUAAUAUGUCACUGUCAUUAACAACAAUUUUCAUUUUGGAUGAGAAUUAAGAGCAAAAUUGUAUUAUUCAAUUAUUAUUGGAUGAGAAUUGAUUUAUGUUUUAUAGAACAUGUAAUUUGCAGGGCUGAAUUCUGAGAUCACAUACAAGUAUAUUUUUUCUGCUUCUUUCAUGCAUGCUGGUUCACAAACAGUAGGUGGUAGCCUCGUUAAGGCUUGUGGUAGCUUGGGUGCUAUUAAACAAGGUAAGCAAGUUCAUGGAAACUUUUUAGUAUCACCCUAUUUUGAUGAUGAUGUUGUUAAGUCAUCUUUGGUUGAUAUGUAUGCAAAAUGUGGAUUACCUGAUGAUAGUCGUUUAGUUUUCGAUUCUAUUAAGUUGAAAAAUAUGGCUUCUUGGACUGCUAUCAUAUAUGGCUAUGCUAGAAAAGGAAGAAAAGAAGAGACUUUGGAGUUGUUUUUAAGGGUUCACCUGAAAAAUUUGUUUGCUUGGACUGCUUUGAUAUCUGGGUUAAUACAGAGUGGAAAUGGGGUUGAUGCAUUUGGCUUGUUUGUUAAUAUGAGAAGGCAAGGGAUUAUUAUAAUUGACCCUCUUGUGCUUUCAAGCAUUGUUGGUGCCUCUCCUCAUUUAGCGAUGUUGGAAAUAUAAGUUUUACUUAAAAUCAAAAGUUAGUUUUUUUCUUUCUUUCUCUGAUCUUUACUGUAAAUAUAAGUUUGAUCUAUUGUAGUUAAAUAACUAGUUUAUUAUACUGUUUUAACAUAUUGUUUUAAUAUAUUGUUUUAGUAUACUGUUAUAAAUAUACCAUUUUAAUAUAAUGUUUUAAUAUACUGUUAUAAAUAUACUGUUAUAAAUAUACUGUUUUAGUAUACUGUUAUAAAUAUACUGUUUUAAUAUACUGUUAUAAAUACUACACCUUAAUUAUUAAUGUAAUAUACUGGUUUAAUAUAUUAUUAUAAAAUUUGUAAUAUACUAUUUUAAUAUAUUGUUAUAAAUUAUCACAGUGAGACCAGUUAAAUUAUCAUAGUUGUCGAAAUCGUUUUUUGAAAAACAAAAAUUUAGUUGUCGACUUUAAAAAUAAAAUUGGAGUCGCCACUGAUCCUUUAUUAAGGUGUGAUCGGCUCACCUUAAAAAUUAUUUUGGUCUACGAAUUUUGAGAAAACGAGUUCGGGAGUCAGUUACGUACGAGGAAGGGUUAGCACCCUCGUAACGCCCAAAAUCGGUACCAAAUUGAUUAUUUGAUGUCUUGGUGUCGAAAGUUAAAAAAGAUUUUAAAAUAAGCUUGAAUGAUGAAAUUUGAAAAAUGAUAAUCAAUUGUUCAAGUCAUGUAAAGAAACUGAGUCCCAAUACGUUAGGGUACAAUUCCUCAUAAUCCCCGAACUUUGAAUAUCACUUUUAUUUUAUGCAAAAAUCUUCAUUUCGAGAAAGUAACAGGCCACACCCAAUACGUUAGGGCACAACAAGUUAAGUUCCCAAAAAUGAUUUUUAUGCUCAUGCAUUUUGAAUAAAGAAUAUUCUCAGUCAUUUAAGAUUGACAAAGAAAAUCAGAACCCGAUACGUUAGGGCUCAAUUUUCCUCGAAAAUCCCAAACUUCAAAAAAUGCUUUUAUUCAAAAAACCUUUAAAUCAAGAAAAUAACUUUGAUGAAUGGUUAAAACUAAAAUGUAUUUUUAAAAGGGUACGUUAAAAAAGUUAAUGUACAAUGUGGUACAGAUACUUUAAUUCACAACAUAUACGAAUAAAUAUUUACAAAUAUAUAUAUACAAAUAUAAUAUAACAAUAAAGUUGCAAACAUAUGUACACAUAUAUCAAAAACACAUAUACAAGUAUACAUGCAAAUAGAAGAAAUGAAAUAUAUCCAAUAAAACAAACAAAAAACAUGUAUAAAAAGAAAAUAAAAGUAUAAAAGAAAAUGCAUAUGUAUAUAUUUUCAGAAUAAAGGAAAAAUAUAUAAAAAAUAAGAAAAUAAAAUAAGGAUAUAAGGAAAAACGUAUGUAUAAAUAUAUGCAUGUAUAUAUUAUAUAAAACAAAUGCGCAUGUGUAUGUAUUUUACGAAAAACAUUUUUUGAAAAUGAAAUUCACAAAAUAUAUGUUUUGUAAAAAAUAUGAAAGAAAAAAAGAAAAUUAUAUAUAUAUAAAAUGUGCAUGUAUAGAAAACCAAUAUAUGUAUAGAUAUAUAUAUUAUAUAAACGUGUGUAAAUGUAUAAGAAUACUAGAAAAACUAAAAAAAAAAUGACUAAUGAAGGAUUAAAUCAAAAAGAAUCUUAAGGGCCGAAUUUAAAAUAAAAUUUUAAAAAAGGGGCCACUUGAAUGCGCGCGUAACAGUGGAGGACCAAAAAGGAAAUAUGCCCAUUGAUCCCACGGCACCGUUUCGACGUAAUCUACAGUCCUGGUUGAUGAACCAAAUUGAAACAGGCGCGAAAUUUUGUGGCAAAAUUGCAAACGUGCGAAAUACUACAUUUAAAAUCAAAAUAAAAUAGGAAGGACCGGACGUGCAAAUAUCCCAUAUGACGUCAGAACGCGCGAAUCCUCCCCUCCGGGUCGGGUCACCGCGCAGGUCUGGCCAUUCAAAACGGCGUCGUUUUGAUCUGUUAUUUAAAACAGAAUUUUCUUUCUAAAACCAUUUUAACAAAAUGAAAAUAAAUAAAUCAAUAAAUCCCCCCCUUUUGCUCUGCUAGGGUUUCACCCCUAGCGUCCUCGCGCUGCCGCUCGCCUGGCCAACGCUCCGAUCGCGACGGAGGUGGCCACCGAUCCGGCAUUCUCAACGAAUGGGGUAAGAUCCUUUCCCUUGCUUUUAUUUCUAAAAAAACGCAAAAAGAAAAGAGAAAUAUAAAAACAACAGAAUGGAACCCGAUUCACCUUUUUAAAAACUUUGUAUUUUUAAUAUUUUUCUUUUGUAUUUCUCUGUAUCCACUCUCUGUUAUCCCCCUUUUACAAAAUAACAGUGGCUUUAUAUAGCCCAAAAACUAUUUGUUGCUUUUUAUUUUACACUAUAUUUUCGCGGAUGGACUCUCUGAGUCCGUGUUUGCAGGCGAGAGUGGAUCAAAUGGCGCGCGUGGAGAGGUCAGCCCUGAGACGUGUGGCGCUUGGAAAGGCUGCUGAAGGCGGGGAGGCUGCGACGCUCGCUUGCUGGUACUAUUUUAGGUGUAUUGGGCUAGGGUUUAGGUUGGGUAGUGUAUUGGGUCUUGUUCAUUAGCUUGGGCCUGAGUGUUAUAACGUGAAAUGGGUUUUAGAUUGAGCCUGGGCCGAUUGGGCCCUAUUACAGCUGCCCCUCUUUGCUCAUUGUCGUGUAACGGGAAUAGAGCAAAGACUACAGGGCCCAAUUGUCCCUUGUCUUGUGGAGCCUCAACUUCUUCAAUGCUUCUCUUCUUUAGGUAGCCACGUUCCUUCCUGCUGCAUCUUCAGGGGUAUAGGCACUGGUGCUCCAAUCUACUCCACUGCAAUGUCGGGGAGAUAGGAUUUGUAUGCUGUAGCUUCUUAAAAGGACAAAAUUUGCUAUUUUUAAUCUGCUCCACUGCAACUUCAGGAAGAUAAGACUUGUAGCUUCAAUUUGUUCUGCUACAACUUAAAGAUAAAUCUUGGCGCGAUCUGCUCUGCUGCAACUUCAGAGAGAUGAGAUCUGUGGUUUUAAUCCACUCCAUUGCAACUUCAAGGAGAUAGGAUUUGUUACUUCUGUCUGCCCCACUGCAAUUUCAGGGAGAUAAAACCAGAUAUAAUUUGCUCUCUGCGACUUUAGAGUAAUGGGAUCUGCUGCGCUUGAUCUACUUCACGCCAAUGAAGACAAGGUCUGUUCUCUUCGAUCUACUCCACCACCAGUAUGGGGAGACAAGAUCUGUUGUCUUUGAUCUACUUCACGCCAAUACAUGAAGACAAGAUCUACUUUUUCCUUCGAUCUACUUCGCCACCAGUAUGGGAAGACAAGAUCUGUUGCCUUUGAUCUACUUCACGCCAGUACAUGAAAACAAGAUCUGCUUUCUUCGAUCUGUUUCGCCACCAGUAUGGGAAGACAAGAUCUGUUAUCUUUGAUCUACUUCACGCCAGUACAUGAAGACAAGAUCUGCUUUCUUCGAUCUGUUUCGCCACCAGUAUGGGAAGACAAUAUCUGUUAUCUUUGAUCUACUUCACGCUAGUACAUGAAGACAAGAUCUGCUUUCUUUGAUCUGCUUCGCCACCAGUAUGGGAAGGCAAGACCUGUUACCUUUGAUCUACUUCAUGCCAGUACAUGAAGACAAGAUUUGUUUUCUUCGAUCCGCUUCGCCACCAGUAUGGGAAGGCAAGAUCUGUUAUCUCUGAUCUACUUCACGCCAGUACAUGAAGAAAAGAUCUACUUUCUUUGAUCUGCUUCGCCACUAGUAUGGGAAGGCAAGAUCUGGUAUCUCUGAUCUACUUCACGCCAGUACAUGAAGACAAGGUCUGUUCUCUUCGAUCUACUCCACCACCAGUAUGGAGAGACAAGAUCUGUUAUCUUUGAUCUACUUCACGCCUGUACAUGAAGACAAGAUCUGCUUUCUUUGAUCUGCUUCGCCACCAGUAUGGGAAGGCAAGAUCUGGUAUCUCUGAUCUACUUCACGCCAGUACAUGAAGACAAGAUCUGUUAUCUUUUAAUCUGUUCCACUGCUGCUCAGGGAGAUAAGGAUUUAUGAUUCCACCGACCUGUUCUCUGUGGACAAUGACCUGUAUGAUGAACCUAAUUAUGCCUAGUGAUUAGGAUAUCAUGAUUGGAAUGAAUCACAUGCUCCUAACUAGGCGUGUAUGAAUGACAUCUAAAUGCUAUGUCAUGAAAAUGAUUCAUUAAUACUAAAUAUUGAAGUCGUUAUUACUCAUUAAGGCUUUCUUUGUGAUAACAACGCUUCGAAAAAACUCAAAAAUUCUUGAUCCGGCUUUUUACUCCUAUAUAUCUUCGACCUUUUAACCCGGUGAAGUCUAAACAAUAGUCCUGCUUCAGGUUCUUGUAUUAUUUAGAAAUUUCCAGAGUAAUAUGAAAAACUUCCCUUGUGAAAGUUUUAUUAGUCCAUUAAUCGUUAUUCUAAUGCAACAUGCUUUCGAAAAGAUCAUAACGAUGGAUAAAACGAAAUUGACUUGAGAUCAUAACUUGCAAUAAAUUAUUAAUGAAAACAAGUCAAAAAAAGAAAUUGACUAAAACACUUAUAUUGAAAAAGAAUGAAGUGUUUUGGAAAUACAAAUUAUGGACAAGUGCCCCAGAUAUCUUUGCUUGAAUUGCUCUAUACAACUUUCUAAGGACCCUUCUGAAUUCAACACGUGUUUAGGAGAUUCAUAGUAUUUUGUUGAUGCCCCAAGAUGUCAUCUAUUCCUUUCUGCCGAUUUAGGUACAACAAGACUACCACGUGCUUCAAUCAGACUUUGAGCCGUCCUUGUCAGGUUUUCAACUCAAACCCCUUUGGUCUUAAGGUGCCCUUUGCGGGUUUUCACCCUAGCCUCUCCGUUUUUUUUUUUGGAAUCAAAGCGCCCUUUGCGGGUUUUCACCUUGGUUCCUUCCCUUCUUCAAGUAAAGUAUCUCUUGACCGAAUCUGAAUUUACUGGAUUAGGCAAGUUUCUUCCAUCCAUUUCAGCCAGGAUCAGGGCUCCUCCAGAAAAGGCCUUUUUUACAACAUAAGGACCCUCCCAAUUCGGCAUCCAUUUCCCCCUAAAAUCUUUUUGUAAAGGAAGAAUUUUUCUCAACACCAAGUCCCCCUCGUGAAAUUCUCUGGGUCGGAUCUUCUUGUUGUAGGCUCGCAUCAUUCUUUUCUGGUACAUCUGACCAUGCUGAAUAGCCUUUAGCCUUUUUCCCUCUAUCAAGUUCAACUGAUCGUAUCGAGAUUGAACCCAUUCUGCUUCAUCCAAUUGUAGCUCAGUCAAAACCCGGAGAGAAGGGAUUUCAACUUCGAUGGGCAAGACUGCCUCCAUGCCAUAAACUAAGGAGAAAGGCGUUGCCCCGGUGGAGGUCCUGAUUGACGUUCGAUAAGCAAUGAGGGCAAACGGUAAUUUCUCGUGCCAGUCCCUAUAAGUCUCAGUCAUCUUCCCCACAAUUUUUUUAUAUUUUUAUUAGCCGUUUCCACUGCACCAUUCAUUUUUGGGCGAUACGGCGAUGAAUUGUGAUGUCUGAUCUUGAAUUGACUGCAGACUUCUGCUAUUGAGCUGUUGUUCAGGUUCAGCGCAUUGUCAGAUAUGAUUCUUUCAGGCAUUCCAUAUCGACAUAUGAUCUCCCUUUUCAAGAACUUACUGACUGAUGACUUUGUAACGUUAGCAUACGAAGCAACUUCUACCCAUUUGGUGAAGUAGUCAAUAACCACAAAUAUGAAACGAUGCCCAUUUGAAGCCUUCGGCGAUAUUGGCCCGAUGACAUCCAUACCCCACAUGGAGAAAGGCCAUGGAGAAGUCAUGACAUGAAGAGGCGAAGGACGUGCAUGCAUUUUAUCACCAUAGAUUUGACAUUUAUGGCACUUUUUGGAGUAAUUGAUGCAAUCCCCUUCCAUGGUGGACCAGUACUACCCGAAUCUCAUAAUCUGUCUAGCCAUUGUGAACCCACUGGCAUGCGUUCCACAGAUGCCCUCAUGGACUUCCUCCAGGAUUUUCUUUGCUUCCACGGCGUCCAUACAUCUUAACAGUACCUGAUCUUUUCCCCUCUUGUAUAAGAUCUCCCCAUCUAAGAUGUAAUCAAUGGCUAGUCUUCUCAGAGUUCUCUUUUCAUUCUCCGUUGCCUGACCAGGAUACUCACGGUUUUUUACAUAUCGCAGUAUAUCUUGAUACCAGGGGAUAUCAUUGAUUUCUUCUUCUUCGAUAUUGUAACAAUGAGCCAGAGCUUCGUAGAUACUCAUUUGGAUAGGCUUCAUGUCUUCUUGACGGUUCACUUUAAUCAUGGAGGCUAACGUAGCUAGGGCAUCAGCCAUCUAGUUCUCAUCUCGUGGGAGAUAGCAAAAAGUGAUGUCCUCAAACUCUUUAAUCAAUUCAAGGACCAGCUUUCAAUAAUUGACUAAUUUGGGAUCCCUCGUUUCCCAUUCACCCUUGAGCUGAUAUAUCACCAAUGCUGAAUCUCCAUAGACCUCUAGCACUUUGAUUCUUCGCUCUAUAGCUGCACGAAUACCCAUGAUGCAUGCUUCGUAUUCUGCCAUGUUGUUUGUACAAUCAAAAUCCAAUUUGCAAGUGAAAGGAUAAUGAUCACCAUUCGGGGACACCAGGACUGCCCCAAUUCCAUUGCCCACAGCGUUCGAGGCUCCAUCAAAGUUUAGCUUCCAACUGUGACCUUCUUGGGGAUUUUCUUCAAUAGCGGCUACUUACAACAAGUCCUCAUUCUGAAAAUCAAAACUUAACGGUUCGUAAUCUUUUAAUGCCCUGCUAGCCAGAAAGUCAGCUAUUGCGCUCCCUUUUACAGCUUUUUGACUCACAUAGACGAUAUCGAAUUUAGACAGUAAAAUCUGCCACUGGGCCAUCCUCCCAUUCAAAGCAGUUGACUCCAUCAUAUACUUUAACGGGUCUAACUUUGAAAUUAGCCAAGUCGUAUGGUAUAACAUGUACUGCCUUAAUCUUCGGGUUGUCCAAAUCAGGGCACAACAGAACUUCUCAAUGGGCGAAUAUCUCAUUUCACAGUCAGUGAAUUUCUUGCUGAGAUAAUAUAUUGCCCUUUCUUUUCUCCCCGUUUCAUCAUGCUGGCCUAGCACACACCCCAUGGAAUUAUCAAACACUGUCAAAUACAAUAUCAGCAGCCUAUCUGGGCUAGGUGGUGACAGCACCGGAGUAUUGGACAAAUAUUGUUUCACCUUGUUAAAAGCUUCUUCGCAUUCUUCAUCCCAAGUACCAGGGUUAUGUUUCUUCAAAAGAUGAAAUAUAGGGUCACAUUUCUGAGUUAGUUGUGAAAUGAACCUAGCGAUGUAAUUCAGUCUUCCGAGGAAACCUCGAACUUCUUUCUGAGUGCGAGGUGGAGGUAAGUCUCGUAUUGCAUUGACUUUGUCUGGGUCAAUCUCGAUUCCCUUUUCACAGACUAUGAAGCCUAGCAAUUUUCUUGACCUGGCCCCAAAAGUGCACUUCGCUGGAUUAAGCUUGAGUUGGAACUUUCAAAAUCUUAAGAAUAACUUUCUCAAGACCUGCACAUGUUCCUCCUCCGUUCUAGAUUUCACGAUCAUAUCGUCAACGUAAACCUCGAUUUCCCUGUGCAUCAUAUCAUGGAACAAGGCUACCAUAGCUCUUUGGUAUGUUGCUCCUGCGUUCUUUAAUCCAAACGGUAUUACUUUAUAACAAAACGUCCCCCAUAACGUAAUGAACGUAGUCUUUCUCAUGUCCUCAGGAUGCAUCUUUAUCUGAUUAUACCCAGAAACACCAUCCAUGAAGGAAAACAUUGAAAAGCCUGCCGUAUUGUCUACCAAUGUAUUGAUGUGGGGUAAUGGGAAAUUGUCUUUUGGACUAGCCUCGUUCAAAUCCCUGUAAUCCACGCACAUUCGUACUUUCCCAUCUUUCUUUGGAACUGGAACGAUGUUGGCCACCCACUCAAAAUACUUGACUUCUUGCAGAAAUCCAGCAUCAAACUGCUUUUGGACCUCAUCUUUUAUCUUCAACACGAUGUCAGGUCUCAUCCUUCUAAGCUUUUGCUGCACUGACUUGCAAUCCUCUCUUAUAGGAAGGUGAUGGACUACAAUGUCGGUACUCAACCCCGGCAUAUCUUGGUACGGCCAUGCAAACACGUCCUUGAACUCUCGGAGUAACUCGAGGAGGUCUUGUCUUGUCUUUGCAGAGAUAUUCGAUCCGACCUUCACCUCCUUUCCUUCCUCUAAGCUCACAAUUUCUAUUGAUUCCCUGUAAGGUAGGAUUUACUUCUCGGCCCUUUCUACCAUCUUCAACAAGUCAGGAGACAAACCACAGUCUUCGUCAUCUUCAAAAUCAUGUGAUCCUUCUAAACACAUGUUUCGUUCAAAAGGAGACUCUAAAUUUAUAAGUGUGACAUUCGUAUCAUUGAUAUCGUAUGACCUGUUAUGAAAAAUAAUAUGGAUUCAGGAAUUUGUUUGGUGCAAUAUGGUCAUGAAUGAAAUGCAAGUGUAGUUUGAGAGAAAUUCAAAAUAACUGCUCUUAUGGAAAGAAAGAUUUGCUCAAAAAAUGACUGCAAAAAUGAACUUUAUUAAAAUAACGAUUUUUUGGACAUGAGCCUAUUUCACAAAGGAAUCCUUAUCACUUCUAGGCUAAAAGCAAUAAGGGUGUUCUGGACAUUACUAUGAGGAAAUCCUAAAAACUACAGGUAUUUCUUCUGCAGUCCAGUUGUUUAGCACACUUCUCAGUUCGUAAGGUUGAAUAUCCUACAAUGUUCCUCCUCCCGUCGCUUCUUCAUACACGGCAUGAAUACUUUCUAACUCCAUGUUAAUACUUUCGACUCCUAGUAUUCCUUGAUAGAUGAAUCCUCCCAAUACAAAAGUCUUAGAUAGGUGAGGAAAGGUCAUGGGCUCCCAUUUGACUUCAUCACCUGUCAAACGAGCCCUUCUUCUCUCUCGCUUCUUUUCUUGCUCUAUCCUCUUCUGCCUAGCAUCUGGCUUGUAUCCUAAGCCAAAAUGGUCCUGCUUGUCUUUCAAUACUGGAGCCUCAACUCGGCCCUGAAGAUAUUUCCCCAAUCCUUUUCUCGGCAAAGCUCCAUUUCUAAUUGUCAAUUGCAGACCCAUCUUUGUGGUCUUUGAUAUUCUCGGCAUCGGGAUCUUGUUUCCCUCAAGGAUGAAUGUUACAUUUACGAACUCCAAGGAACGGAAAGAGCACUCGAUUGCAUCAUCACUUGUUUCUAAAUAAGGUGCAUCGUUGGUCACAGAUGUAAUGAUAUCUUCUUCAACAUUUAUCGUCACUAGCCGACCUUCUGACACCAGCUUCAGUUUUUGAUGUAAUGAUGACGGUACCGCUCCUGCUGAAUGAAUUAAUGGCCUUCCUAAUAGGAAACUGUAAGAAGGCUUGAUGUCCAUAACCAAGAAGUCUACCUCAUAGCUAGUUGGGAAAAUUAACAAGGGUAUGCCAAUUCUUCUCAUGACUUUCCUCUCGGUGCCAUCAAAUGCUCUCACCAUAUUCUGGUACGACUUCAUAUGUGAACUAUCCACAGGUAGCCUGUUGAGCGUGGAUAGAGGCAAUACAUUCAGUACCGACCCGUUGUCUACCAGAUUUCCUGGUAAUAUGCGCCUUUUACACCUUGCAGUGAUGUGUAAAGCUCUAGUAAAUCCCAUACCCCCAGGUGGUAUUUCAUCAUCGCUAAAGGAGAUGAAGUUAUCAGCGCUUAUAUUGCCGACCAGUCGAUCCAACUUGUUAACAAAGAUAUCAUCAGCCACAUAAGUUUCGUUUAGCACUUUCAGUAGUGCAUUUUGAUGUUCCUCCGAGUUCAGGAGUAAAGCUAGCACAGAUAUGCGAGCUGGUUGUUGGUGCAGUUGUUCCACAACGCUGUACUCGCUAUGCUUUAGAAACUUCAAGAACUCUCUAGCUUCCUCCUCUUUGAUUGGUUCAUUGACCAAUAAUUCAGGUUCGACCGCAUUCUUCCUCUUUCCAACCGAAGCUUCUUCUCUUAUUGGCCCUUCUUGAGCUUCCAUCUGUUCGUAGUGCCUUCCUUCAUCCUGAUCCUCUUUACUGAUUAUAUCCUCUUUCCCCAGGAUUAUCACAUUACAAUCGUGAUUCCAAGGAACCUCUUGUUAUCCUUAUAUGCAAACACAGCCGGUUUUUGAAUGAUUACUUUUGGUGUUAUACGUGCCCCAACCUCACUGUUCUGAGGUCGCGAAAUGAUGACCACAGGAUGGUUAGCCUUCGGAACCCCCAAUGCCAACUCUAACGCGCAUACAUGAUUCUCCUCUUGAACUCCUUCACAGAAUUCCAUCUCCCUAUUAUCCAUCAUACCUUGUAUCAUGGCUCUGAAUUCCGUACACUCUUGGAUUUCAAGCCCCAAUUCAUGGUGGAACUCACAGUAGUUUCCCCUCUUUUCACAACUUCCUUCUGAGACGAUUAGUCCCCUUUUCACCAUCUCCUUCCAGACCCAUCUCAAAGGAGUUUUCACAUCCGCAAUGUCUACCUUGAUUCUUCUAUCUUCGCCCAUCAUAUUUACCCCACCAUCAGUGUGGUUUGGUAUUGGGUUUUCUACCUUGGUCGAGUCAUCAAAUUUAACGACAUCCAUACCAAUGAGCCUUUCUACCAACUUCUUAAAGGCCGUACAGUUUUCUAUGGAAUGCCCUGUUCUUCCCGCAUGAUAGUCGCACUGUGCAUUCACGCCGUACCAUUUGGGGUUGCAAGGGCUUCAGAUAGAAAGGGGAAACUACGUGUGCGUCAAAUAAAUUUCGAUAUAGUUCCCUGUAUGAUAUAGGAAUUGGCGUGAAUUGGGGCCUCUCAAUAUUUCGCCUUGUACCGACCUCUUGUCUCGACGAGCUUUGCUGAUUGGCAGCCACCUUUCCUGGCUGACUCACUGUUAAUGACUUCAAGUAACCUUUGCUGUACAUGCUCGCGUUGUUCACCUCAUUUUCCUUCAUCUUCAAAGCCGAUCUUCUGUUACUCUCUCCCGCAUCGAUCUUCCCAGUCCUAAUGUCAUUCUCAAUCAUCUCGCCAUUCAUGACUAUGUCAGGAAAGCUUUUUGUGGCACUUUCUAACAUAUGUGUAAUAAACGGUGCCUUCAGGGUGUUAAUGAACAACAUGGUCAUUUCCUUUUCCAGGAGCGGUGGCUGAACUUGGACUGCAACCUCCCUCCAUCUCUGUGCAUACUACCUGAAGCUUUCACUCGGCUUCUUCUCCAUGUUUUGAAGGGUGAUUCUAUCAGGAGCCAUGUCUGUCACAUGACGAUAUUGUUUCAUGAACGAUUGUGCCAAGUCCCUCCAUAAACCAAUCGUGGCACGACUCAACUGAUUGUAACAUUUGGAUGCUGCCCCUACAAGGCUGUCUUGGAAACAAUGUAUCAAGAGUUGGUCGUUGCUAACAUAUCCCGCCAUUCAUCUGUAGAACAUAGUGAUGUGAGCUUCUGGGCAACUUGUCCCAUUGUACUUUUCGAACUCCGGCAUCUUAAACUUAUGAGGGAGCACCAAGUCUGAAACUAAGCUCAGCUCUUUGGCAUCAUUGCCUCGAUAACUUUCAGCAACCUCCAUUGCCUUGAACUUCUCCUUGAGCCACUUGCAUCUUUCCUUUAACUGUUUCGGUAACUCCUCCUUCACUCUUUCCUUCUCAACUACUUCAUCAAAGUCUGGAAUGACAGAGUGAAUAAGAUUAUUUUCGAGGUUAGAUCCCGGUCCAGCUUGAAAGCUCGAAACACCAGCCCGAAACUGCUGCGACAUAAUGGUGACAGUAGAUUUGUGCGGGUAUUCAGCUUGAGUUCGCACAUAUGGAGGGGUGAAACCUGGAGGAUAGAGAGGUUCAUCACCAUUUCCCUCAUCGACAUUUUCCAUGGGGCCCUUUCCUUUAUCACUUCCCCUAGUUAUCAAUUGGGUUAACUUUGCCACUAUAUCUUCUUGGGAUUCUUGCAUCUUCUCAGACAUCUCUUGUUUCAUCUUAUCUAACUGCUCCUGCACUUGUAGCUGAAGUCGGUCUUGCAUCUCCUUCUGACACUGUUCGAGUUUUUUCAAUCUCUGAUCCAUAUCUUUUGUUUUUGCUCGAGUGCCGUAUCGAUGUUGGCUUGGUUGGUUGGUUUCCAGGUUAACUGAGCAGUGAUUUUGACUUAUUAGGAUUAAAUAAAAAUCUUUAAUACAUAUAAUGCGGUGCUAAUGCAUAUGAUACGAUGCAUGAGAUGAAUGCAAAAAAAGGCGUUAAUUAUAAUUCAAUUCCAUUCAGAAAACUUUACUAGAGAAUUUUUUUUACAUAAAAUGGCUAUAAAUAAGGCUUUGCCCUAACACUUAGAACUUUAAUCUCCCUAAGUAAUGGUGCCAACUUCUGCCCCUGAUCUGAUUCUGAUUCGUACUUCACACUUAGUAUAUCAGCUUGUAUUGCUAAAGUCUGCAGGUGCUCAACUACCCCUUGAAUCUGUACCACAGCUUCUUCCAUAAUGUGAUCCCUUCUUGCAACUUGAUCCUGGAGAUAGUGAAGUUGUUCACUUUGAUGAUCUUCAUUUGCUUCCAGAUGUUCAAUCCUGGCUUCACAGUUCUGUAAUGCCAUCUCUAAUCCUUCUACUGUUCUCUUCAUCUGCUCGAUCCUGCUCAAGCUUGCUUGCAACUCCAUCACAACAUUGCGAUUUCGAUAUUGAUGAAUAGUUUCCUCUAGUUCGGCCAUCCUAGCUUUUAAUUCAUCAUUUUUAUUCUGGCUUUCUGACAAACUCCUCUCAAAGGACUUAUUUUGCUUUUGAGCCUCCUGAAAUCUCUUUUUCCACCUAUCAGCCUUGACCUUUUCUUCUUGAACUUCUUGACGCCACUGCUCUGAGGUUUUUCCCAACCCAGCAGUUCUCACUAACAUACGUAGUCUCUUAUAAUCCGUCUUCAAGCUAUUCAAAUCUUUAUCGGCUUUGCGUUUUUCUUUUCUCAAGCCUUCGGUUUCCAGCUUCUGAACAUCCAUGUCCAACUUUAAAUUCAUCUUCUCCUCUUCUAUUUGCUCUAUCUUCCUUUCAAGCUCUGAGUUUCUUCUUUCAAAAUCCUGCUUUAUAAUUUCUAGCUCAGAAGGGACCAUAUGUACAUGCUUUUCUACUAAUUGAUUGUCUCCUUGACCUGGUGCAGGUAUAUUAUCAUUGACCCUCCUACCUAGCCACUUGAUAUAUUCAGAAGUCGUCGAUGGACCUACUACCAAUCUCUUCAUUCGUCGAGUCUGCCUCCAAGCAUUUGUCAUUUCUCGAAUCUUCUUCUUGUAACCAUCAUACUUAUACGAGAAUUCACUUUGAGCUAAUCCUUGGGUUGUAGGUACGAACUGCCUCAAUCUAUACUGUCUCAAUACUAGUAAUGGUGCAUAGCUGAUAGCUCCCCAAAUCCCAAGUAAAGGGACCCAAUCGAAAUCUCCACACCUAUACAAGAUCUCAUCUGGCAGCAUCCAAGGAGCUCUCUACUCGAUGUUCUCCUCUUGAAGAUUCUGAAGAAUUACAAUCCAUCUUUCUUCUAAAACACCAUCUUGCCUCGAUAUCGCCAUUAUUUCUUUCAAAGGCGAAUAAGUUUCAGAAAAAACUCGAUAGGAAAAUUUAUCAGCCUUCCAGAAGUGACUGUGAAACCAUGCCAAGAGAAGCUGCGCACAUCCAACGAAUCUUCAUUCACCUACUCUUCGGUAUUCGUUCAAUGACCUAAAAGUUUUUGCUAAAAUUACUGGAACCGGUGUGACUCCUUUACCAAGUCGAUCGAAAAGAUCAGUGACUGCUUCAUCAAUAUGUCCCAAGGCUUUGGGAAAGAUAACUAAAUCGUAAAUACCCAAGGCAAAGACAUCAACCCUCUUCCUCGUAUCCAGAUGUACUAGAAUUAAAUCCUUCAAGCUCUUCCAAGGAAUGCAUUUACUAUCUCCCUUUUGUUUGAUUCGUGCUGCGACCCAUUACUCACUCAUCCCCGUAAUAUUCAUCAAUUUCUUCAAAAAGGUUGGAACAUUAGCAGCUCUCGAGUAGGCUUUAUCUACUUGGAUCUUCGAACAACGAAGCAAGGCCGUAUAUUCCUCCACCGUAGGCACUAAGUCAACUUUUCCAAAGGUAAAGCAACUAUAAGCAGGAUUCCAAAAUUGGGCUAAGGCACGAAAUAAGUGCUUAUCCACCUUUAAGUCGAGCAAGUAAGGUAUGUCUCCAUAGCUAGAGUAGAAGAGCUGUUUAACCUCAUCAGUCCACCUUUCCCAAAUUUCCUUUAGUUCAUGUAGGCUAUUCUGGGUCACGCUAACACGAGUGAAGUCCCACAACUCUGACACAUAUCCUUCGGCCAAACUAUCACCUUUCUCUUGCUGUGUUGUCUCUGACCAAGUUUGGACAGCCGCAUUAUCUUCCACUUUAUCAAGAAACCCUUUUUCCAUGAUAAGCUUUCUAUCUAGCAACCGAAUAUGAACUAACGCCCUUUUAGGAUGAAAUGCUAUGCAAUCAUGAUGUCAUGCAAUCAAAACGAAAGAAACCCAAGUCAGUAUCACAUAUAGAGAUAUAAUCCAAUACAAACAUGAAAUAGCAAGAAACACUUAAUCUAGAAUCCACUAGGGUUUUGGGAUAGUUCUACCUAGGUCAAGUUCCUAAAGCUCACUAUAUGAGGUUUAGUUUCUAGAGUAAGGGUACCCGAACCAGCAGAUUCCUCAAUCCUCACCCAUUAUAGGCUCAUAUGGAUCGAGUUCAGUUCAGGGGGAUACAUUUCCCUAUGGCUGCACGGAGAUGAAAAUCUCACGAAGACAUAGGUACGGAUGUAUCUCGAAAGCGGUCCACUACCCUGCACGGAGGUGAAAACCUCACGAAGGACUAGUUUCUCGCUCCCACUUAAAGGGUCAAAUGCAAAAUGCAAAUGCAAAGUUGCCAACAUAUCAUGAUGAAAAAUCAAUGAGUGCGUAGGGAACUCAUGAAUUUUUUAAAAAUUUUGAUUUUCGACACAAAGACAAAUAUAAUUAGUUUAUGGCUCGACUCUCUCAAGCGUCCCCAGCGGAGUCGCCAAGCUGUCGAAACCGUUUUUUGAAAAACAAAAAUUUAGUUGUCGACUUUAAAAAUAAAAUUAGAGUUGUCGCUGAUCCUUUAUUAAGGUGUGAUCGGCUCACCUUAAAAAUUAUUUUGGUCUACGAAUUUUGAGAAAAUGAGUUCGGGAGUCAAUUACGUACGAGGAAGGGUUAGCACCCUCGUAACGCCCAAAAUCGGUACCAAAUUGACUAUUUGAUGUCUUGGUGUCGAAAGUUAAAAAAGAUUUUAAAAUAAGCUUGAAUGAUGAAAUUUGAAAAAGGAUAAUAAAUUGUUCAAGUCAUGUAAAGAAACCGAGUCCCAAUACAUUAGGGUACAAUUCCUCAUAAUCCCCGAACUUUGAAUAUCACUUUUAUUUUAUGCAAAAAUCUUCAUUUCGAGAAAGUAACAGGCCACACCCAAUACGUUAGGGCACAACAAGUUAAGUUCCCAAAAAUGAUUUUUAUGCUCAUGCAUUUUGAAUAAAGAAUAUUCUCGGUCAUUUAAGAUUGACAAAGAAAAUCAGAACCCAAUACGUUAGGGCUCAAUUUUCCACGAAAAUCCCAAACUUCAAAUAAUGAUUUUAUUCAAAAAAACCUUUAAAUCAAGAAAAUAACUUUGAUGAAUGGUUAAAACCAAAAUGUAUUUUUAAAAGGGUACGUUAAAAAAGUUAAUGUACAAUAUGGUACAGAUACUUUAAUUCACAACAUAUACGAAUAAAUAUUUGCAAAUAUAUAUAUACAAAUAUAACAUUACAAUAAAGUUGCAAACAUAUGUAUACAUAUAUCAAAAACACUUAUACAAGUAUACAUGCAAAUAGAAGAAAUGAAAUAUAUCCAAUAAAACAAACAAGAAACAUGUAUAAAAAUAAAAUAAAAGUAUAAAACAAAAUGCAUAUGUAUAUAUUUUCAAAAUAAAGGAAAAAUAUAUAAAAAAUAAGAAAAUAAAAUAAGGAUAUAAGGAAAAACGUAUGUAUAAAUAUAUGCAUGUAUAUAUUAUAUAAAACAAAUUCGCAUGUUUAUGGUAUUUUACGAAAAACAUUUUUUGAAAAUUAAAUUCACAAAAUAUAUGUUUUGUAAAAAAUAUGAAAGAAAAAAAGAAAAUUAUAUAUAUAAAAUGCGCAUGUAUAGAAAACCAAUAUAUGUAUAGAUAUAUAUAUAUAUUAUAUAAACGUGUGUAAAUGUAUAAGAAUAAUAGAAAAACUAAAAAAAAUUACUAAUGAAGGAUUAAAUCAAAAAGAAUCUUAAGGGCCGAAUUUAAAAUAAAAUUUUAAAAAAGGGGUCACUUGAAUGCGCGCGUAACAGUGGAGGACCAAAAAGGAAAUAUGCCCAUUGAUCCCACGGCACCGUUUCGACGCAAUCUGCAGUCCUGGUUGAUGGACCAAAUUGAAACAGACGCGAAAUUUUGUGGCAAAAUUGGAAACGUGCGAAAUACUGCAUUUAAAAUCAAAAUAAAAGAGGAAGGACCGGAUGCGCAAAUAUCCCAUAUGACGUCAGAACGCGCGGAUCCUCCCCUCCGGGUCGGGUCACCGCGCGGGUCUGGCCAUUCAAAACGGCGUCGUUUUGAUCUGUUAUUUAAAACAGAUUUUUCUUUCUAAAACCAUUUUAACAAAAUGAAAAUAAAUAAAUAAAUAAAUCCCCCCUUUUGCUCUACUAGGGUUUCACCCCUAGCGUCCUCGCGCCGCCGCUCGCCUGGCCAGCGCUUCGAUCGCGACGGAGGUGGCCACCGAUCCGGCAUUCUCAACGAAUGGGGUAAGAUCCUUUCCCUUGCUUUUAUUUCUAAAAAAACGCAAAAAGAAAAGAGAAAUAUAAAAACAACAGAAUGGAACCCGAUUCACCUUUUUAAAAACUUUGUAUUUUCAAUAUUUUUCUUUUGUAUUUCUCUGUAUCCACUCUCUGUUAUCCCCCUUUUACAAAAUAACAGUGGCUUUAUAUAGCCCAAAAACUAUUUGUUGCUUUUUAUUUUACACUAUAUUUUCGCGGAUGGACUCUCUGAGUCCGUGUUUGCAGGCGAGAGUGGAUCAAAUGGCACGCGUGGAGAGGUCAGCCCCGAGACGUGCGGCACUUGGAGAGGCUGCUGAAGGCGGGGAGGGUGCGGCGCUCGCUUGCUGCUACUGUUUUAGGUGUAUUGGGCUAGGGUUUAGGUUGGUUAGUGUAUUGGGUCUUGUUCAUUAGCUUGGGCCUGAGUGUUAUAACGUGAAAUGGGUUUUAGAUUGAGCCUGGGCCGAUUGGGCCCUAUUACAACAGUAAUAGUUUCCACUUUCCAGUAAUAGUUUCUAGUGUUCCUUUACUUUGCUACCAUAUUUCCAUAUUUGGGUUACCUGGGUUGAAUCUUCAUGUAGCUUGGGCAGUUUCUUUUAUCAAUACUGACAUACCAUUUUAGAGCCCAUAUUCCACUAUAUUGGCUUUAAUUGUUGUAAUAAUUUUAUCCAUAGAAUUGCAAUUAUAGAUAAUAUGCUAUACUAUUUUCUCCUUAAUUACGGAAAAAAUAAAUAUCAAAUUGAUUUUCCUUUUUGUACAGGCUACAGUUUGAGGUUAUUUACUUAAGCAAUUUUAUCCCACAUUAGUCAAUGUUUGAGUUUGUUCUUCAAAUAAGUUAUCUUAUUUUAUUUUUUGUUCAUUAUAUACAAAGAAAAUAUAAUUUGAUAUUUAAUAUAAAUUUAAUAACAAUUAAUUUUAAGUAAUGGGCUGGGCCGAGUCGGGCCUGGGCCUUGUACUUUUUCCCCGGGCCGAGCCUAGACAAAACUUCAGGCCCAUAUUUCGGGCCAGGCCGGGCCCGGAUCUAGGACACGGGCAAAAUUUUUUCUGGGCCCGACCCGAACCCGGCCCGGCCCAUGAGCACCUCUAAUCCAACAUCAUAUGAUAAUUUCUUAAUUUUAUAUGAUCCAAUAUCCUAAAAUUAGGUAUAAUGAUUUAUUUUUUCGUUCUUUAUUUAAUUUUUGUUAUUUUAAAUUUGUAUUAUUUAUCAAAUCACCUCAACGAAUAAAAAUGUAAUGUCAAUUAAUUUUACUGAUGUGACAUACAUGUGAAUUGUCACUUGAAUGCCACAUAAGUACUUAAUUAAUUUUUAAAAUGAUUUUAAAAAAUUUUAAAAAUAAAAUUAUAUAAAUGUUUUUCUAUGUUUUGGAAAUUUUAAGAAAUAAUUAAUUGCUAGGUGAAUGUCAUAUUAACAAAGUUAAAAGGUGUUAAUUUUUUCAUUCAUUUUAGGGUGAUUUGACAAAUAAUAAAAAUUCAAGGGUUAAAAGAUAAGGAAAAUUAAAUUAAAGGCUAAUUUUUUUUAUAAAAUUGGAGGGUUAAAUAAAUCAUUAUGCCCAUGAUAUAAUGACGAUGACUUGAAAUUAAAUAAUGUCUAUGAAACCGGUGUAGUUUUCUUGGUUUUGUAUAUAUUCUUUGGAAAUUAUUCGGCUUAUGCUCUUUUUGGAUAUGUAGUAAAGUUAAUUUUUGGUGAAACUAAAAGUAAUAAUUAUGAUGAGAUUAGUUAAUAUAGCGGUAAGAUUAAAAUUAAUAAUGUGAUAUAUGUUUGGAUUCAAACAAAAUAAUAACCAUGAUGUAAAAAUGGAAAAUGAUUAUUGAUGUCAUUAAGUUACAACUUAUGUGCCAACAACCUCUUGACUUAGUGGCAAGAAUACUAUGUUAUAGGCAUGAGAGUUUAGGUACAAUCCCAAGUAAUCUUAUACUCCACUUCCAAUUUUAUUAAAAAAAACUUAUGUAUAUGUAAAAUAAAUAAUUAAGAAAAAAAAUUAAAAUAAAAUAUGUUAAAUUAUUUUUUUGAAAGGUAAAUUCAUUAAUUUAUUCAAUGAAUGGAACCAUACAAUUCAGAGAAAAAAGAUAACAAACACUCAUCGCAGAUGGUGAAGGACAAGCGCCAUCAACACAACAAAGGCUUUAGCCUUAGCAUCAAUAGAACAUUAUGACACAUUGACAAUUGGCUUAAUCACAACUCAAGCACGACAUAUCUGGAGUGAUUGCAAGGACUUAAUAUGAUAAUGAAAUCAACCUCGGAUGGUCCAAAGUGGCGAGCAAAAAUCGACAAAAGAAUCGAGUAUUCACCAAACUAGAGAGGACGACAACAAAAUUUGUAACACCCCUAACCUGGCCCAAACGUUAUGGCCGAAUCUGGGUGUGUUACGAAGAAGGGUUUUAAAACUAUAUCUCUUAAGCUAAAUCGUAUCGUGUUAUUAGUUUACCAAUUGCAGUUUUAAUAACCGGAAAAACUUGGAUUUAAGAUCUUAUUUGAAACCAUUUUAAGUUAUCAAGAAUUUGCAACAGAAGUUUGAAAAAUGUUAAUUCGAAACCAAGCUCGUGUUUCCAAAAACCAUUUGUUAAAACCAUAUGUUUGCGUAAAGUGUUUUUGUUAACAUUGUGGAAAAGAAAGAAAAAUAAAAUCCAAAUCCAAAAGUUAAAACCAUACAGUUCAGAAAGUCCCAAAAAUUACAACUCUCACGAAAACCAGAUUUUGAAACAAAACUGAUAACAUUAAAUAAAAAUAGUUCUCAACCGAGUGGUCACCGUUGAGUCUCCGUCGCAUCGACCCACCUAAGUCUGUGGAUUACCUAAACAGAACAGACAAACAAAUGUGAGUUUUCAUAAACUCAGUGUGUAACCUAACAGAAAUAGUCAUGCAACACACACAGAAUUUCAUAUACAGUCAGAUACAGAUUCAGACCUAAGUCCAUAACAAAUACAGAUUCCCGAAUCAGAUAAUCAAAACAGAUAUAUAUAAUCCUAUCCCCUCCUCUAUACACCAUCUCUGUCUAUCCCAUCACACCAUGUGGGGUUAAAAACACCUACUCAUCCCUACACACCAUAUAGUGUCGAUGCGACACAUAACAGAUAAUAUGCAGUUAAGCUACCAGAAUGUAGGCGAAAGGUCGCCGUAUAGAUUACUUCCUACACAUAUGCAAAUCCCACCCCAAACAUAGAUACAUAAUACCAAAUUAACGGAUUUAACAUGCUUAACAUGCUCGUAUAAAAAUAACAUAUAUAUAUACUCAAACAGAACAGUCAGACAUACAUAUUAGAGUCCCACUCAGAUCAGACUAUCAGAAUACCAUAUCACAUGAAUUAGGGUUGGUUGGCCCUUACCAUCCCUAUGGUAGGCCCACAGUCGAUCGAAACGACCCGUGCGACCCUAGGGAAAAUUUCAGAAUCCUGGGCCACACGCCCAAUCUAGUCUAGCCCGUGUGGCUUACACAACCACACUUACACCAUCACACGGUCGUGUCCCGCACACGGCCACACCUACGACAUUCACAUGAUCGUGUUUAGGGUACACACCUAGUACGAUUUUGUUGUGAAAACACUCCCGAGACAACUAGAACCUAAAAUUGACAUAACAAGCUCUCAAAAUCAGUCUAAAUCCUCAAUUAAACUGAACUAACAAAUUUGACAAUGGUGAAAUUCAAGUUUUCAACACUUACCCGAUUCCUCGAACGAUUCCAACUAUAAUUCCGUAAGAGAAGAACCACGUUCAUCACGAUUCACUGCAGUCAAACCCAUACAAUCAAACUAACAAAAAGCAAAACCGACUUAAAUAAACUUUAACCAAAGCCCUCAAUCUAAGAAGAAACUCACCACUUUCCCUUACCUAAACGUAAAAAGCAAUCAGAGAUUCGUAUUAUCGCAAUUUUGGAAGGGAGAUUUUGACAAAAAUAAGGGAAAAGAAAAAAGAUUUUUGGUGGGGAAAGAAAAGUAUAACAUCAGAAACUAGAAGAGGGAGAAAUUUUUGGGAAAAUAGAAUAAAAGAAAAUAGAAAGAUUAAGUCAAAUCCCACUACAUCCACAUCCCUUAACCACUCAACUAACUCAAAAUCCCACUACCACCAAACCACUAUCAACCGCCACCGCCAAAAAUUAUCACCCACGCUCGCGCGUGAAUUCAAACACAGGACCUCCAACAAACUAAGUCCUUACCACUCGAACCAGCAGGCUCAUUCUAAUAUGAGUUUGCAAACAAUAUAAUAUAAGCCCACCCAACAAGGAUAAUGCUUGGAUCAAAAAUAACAAAAUUUGCCAAAAGGGGGACUUGAACCCAAGACCUCAUACACACACCUAUAACACUCAACCACUGAAGCAGAUACAUAUUUGUGUCAGAUUUCACAAAAAUAGAAAUAAAUUAUUCAGGGUGUUACAACUCUACUCCCUAAAAGAAAUUUCAACCUCAAAAUUUACCUAAUCCGAACAGAUAAAGAUACUACAAACUUAUCAAGUCCUUAUGUUCCCACAUGGCUUCCUCAGUGCCAUGAUUCCGCCACAGAACAUUUACCAAUGGAAUAGAAUUCCUCCUCAUAACCUUAAUAUCUCGUUCCAAAAUCUGAACUAUCUCCUCCUCAAACGUCAAAUUCGGUCUAACAUCGAUCUCCUUAAUAAAGACAAUGUGAGAUGGAUCAGACUGAUACUGCCUCAACAUUGAGACGUAAAACACAUCAUGGAUACAGUCCAACUUUGGAUGUAGCUCUAACUAAUAAGCGACUGGUCUCACACGCUUCAGAAUCCCAUACAACCCAAUAAAUCUAGGGCUCAACUUACCCUUACGAUCGAACCGUAGAAUCUUCUUCCAUAGAGAUGCCUUAAGAAAUACAAAGUCACCCAUAGAGUAUUCGAUAUCCCUCCUUUUUAGAUCCGCAUAGGACUUUUGUCUAUCAGAAGGCACCUUCAAACGAUCCCAAAUCAGUCUAACCUUAUCUUCAAUCUUGGAAACCAACUCAGGACCCAAAAUCCAUCAUUCACUCGACUCAGUCCAACAUAGUGUAGUAUGACACUUACGGCUAUAUAAAGCCUCGUAAGGUGUCAUCUGAAUGCUAAACUGGAAACUAUUGUUGUAGGUGAACUUAGCUAACAACAGAAAAUCCUCUCAGUUACCUCAUAAAUCAAUCACAAAGCUCCGAAGCAUAUCCUCCAGUAUCUAAAUCACCUUUUCAGACAACCAUCAGUCUGAGGAUGGAACACAGUACUGAAAUCCAAUCUCGAACCCAUAGCUUCAUGUAAUUUCUUCAAGAACUGAAAAGUGAAGCGAUGAUCCCUAUCAGAUAUUAUCAAAAUCAAAACCCCAUGUAGCCUCUCAACCUCAGAAAUAUAAAGCUUCGCUAACUUUUGCGAACUUUGUCAAUUGAUCCACGAUAACCCAAACAGAAUCCUUCUUAUUGGGUGUCAAGGGCAACCUACUAACAAAGUCUAUUGUCACUUGCUCCUAUUUCCAUAAUGGAAUCUUAACAGGUUGAAGCAAACCCGAAGGCAAUUGGUGCUCAACCUUAACUUGCUGGCACAUUAAAUAAUAAGCAACAAAAUCUGUUACCUCACAUUUCAAUCCCGGCCACCAGUACAGCUUACGAAGAUCCUGAUGUAUUUUAUUAUCACCGGGAUAUCUAGCAUAAUGGCUACUAUGCGCUUCCCUCAGAAUCGACUGUCUCAGAUCAGAAUCGUUCGGUAUACAAACCCGUCCUCGAAAACAUAGAACUUUAUAUUAUUCAGUCCAAAAUCAAAAGUACUGUCACUCUCAACCUAACAAAACCGCUCAUCCCCUAAAUUCUUUUUCUGGAUCUUCCCAAUCCAAGUUGGCUUAACUUGCAACUCGGCUAACAGACCCCCAUCAUUGAACAAACUAAGACAAGCGAACAUCGCUCUCAAACCAGUCAUCGCUCUCUGACUGAGAGUAUCAGCCACCACAUUGGCCUUAUCGGGAUGAUACUCUAUCUUGCAGUCAUAAUCUUUGAGUAGCUCAAUCCAUCGACGCUAUUUAAGAUUCAAUUCUUUUUUAGUAAGGAAGUACAUGAGACUCUUGUGAUCGGUGUAGAUAAUACAUCUCUCACCAUACAAAUAGUGCCUCUAGAUCUUUAACAUAAAUAUCACCGUAGCUAACUCGAGAUCAUGCAUCGGAUAAUUUCUCUCAUGUGACUUAAGCUGCCGGGACGCGUAAGCCACCACCUUAGACUAACAUGUGACGCAUCACUAUACAUUACAAACUCCUUACCAAAUUCAAGUUGUAUUAGAACAGGAGAGAACAGACUUGAGCUUCUCGAAGCUCGACUGUUGUGCAUUAGUCCAGAUGAAAGGAACAUUCUUGCAUAGAAGUUUAGUCAAAGGAGCUGUAAUUAGUGAGAACCCCUAAAAAACCUCCGAUAAUAACCCGCAAGACCCAAAAAAACUGUGGAUCUCAGAGAUAUUCUUAGGCUGUUUUCACUUAAGCAUAGCCUCAAUCAUUCUAGGAUCAACUCAGAUACCCUCAGCAGAAAUCAUGUGCCCUAAAAAAGUUACUUCUCGCAACCAGAACUCACAUUAACUCAACUUAGCGUAGAGCUAUUUCUUUCAGAGUAUCUGUAGCAUUACUCUAAGAUGCUCAUCAUGCUCAUCCUCAGUCUUAGAGUACACCAGAAUAUCAUCAAUGAAGACUACGAUAAACUAAUCCAAAUACAAUUAAAAACUCAGUUCAUCAGAUCCAUAAAUGCAAUCGGAGCAUUCAUCAAACCAAAGGGCAUAACUAAGAACUCGUAAUGCCCAUAACGAGUCCUAAAUGUCAUGUUAUGACUAUCAGCUUUCUUAACCCUAAACUAAUGAUACCCAGAAUAGAGAUCUAUUUUUGAGAAUACCACAGCCCUACAAAACCAAUCAAACAGGUCAUCGAUCCUCGGAAGUGGGUACUUAUUCUUCAUAGUCGGUUUAUUCAACUGCCGGUAGUCGAUGCACAUCCUCAUGGUACCAUCCUUUUUCUUCACAAACAGAACCGGUGCCCCCAUAGAGACAAACUAGGAUGGAUGAAACCACGAUCCAGAAGCUCUUGAAGUUGAGCCUUAAGCUUUGUUAGCUCUUUUGGUGCCAUACGGUAUGGAGCGAUAGACAUCGGAGAUAUACCCGGUAGAAGCUCAAUGUCAAACUUAACUUCUCGAUUUAGAGGUAAACCUGGUAACUCUUCAGGAAAAGUAUCUAAAAAUCCCCUCACUGUUUUAAUAUCCCCAAUAGAAGAGUCCCCAAAAACUGAAACACUGACAUAGGCUAAAUACGUCUCACACUUUUUCUGAACCAAUUUCUCAACCGCUAGAGCAGAGAUCAUAUUAGAUAGGUAAUCUCGACCCUCACUAAUUACAUCCGUUUCCUUAUCAUCCUCGGUCCUCAGAAUGACCCUUUUAGUCAUGCAGUCCAAACUAAAUCGGUGCUCAACUAACCAAUCUAUCCCCAAAAUUAAGUUAAACUCCCCAAACAGUAGCUCUAUCAGAUUUGCCGGAAACACAACUCCUUAUACUUCCAAUGAAACAUUCCUAUAAAGUCUAUUUACCCUAACAGACUGUCUCAAUAGAGUCAGUACAGUAAUCUCUCCAGAAGUACACUCAACAAAAAUCCUUAAGUUCUCGGAAACAGAACUAGCUACAAAGGACUGUGUAGAACCUAUGUCUAUCAAAACAAUAUAUGAAGCAUCAAAAAUUAAAAACGUACGCGUGAUCAUAUCAAGGGCAACGUUGUCCUCUUGGCAUCGAGCAACAUAAACUAGUGCAGGCUGCCUCACCUCAGUCUGAUUAGUAAUUUUUCCUAGUGCUCUCUGACCUUAGCCCAUACCAUUACCACUCCUAGCCGGUCUACGGUCCUUAGGUGGUUGUUUUACUGCCCUCUGAGGCUAAACAAAGUCCAGUCCUAAAGCUUGCAUCUAAUUAGCAUGAUAUGGACACUCUUUAAUUUGGUGCUCCAAAGACCUACACCGCAGACAAGCUCUUAAUCUCCUCUAACACUCACCCGAAUGGUGUCUACCACAGUCACCACAAGGCUGAAUCUUAGUAGGAGCAAUUGGAACUCCCACUCUAACAGGCCCAUCAGGUCUGGCCCAUUUCUUAGGCCUCUAAACAGAACUAGAGGGCUCUGAAUCCCUCUUAUUCAUGCCUCUCUCUUGGUCUUUAUUCUGGCACUCCACGCGCUUAACCUUCUCAACGAUCUUUGCCUUAUCUACCAAAAUAACAAACUCACACUCUCUCUGCAGAGUAAUCAGAGCGCUUAAAUUAUCCCUCAAAUCGUCUUCAAAAUGAACACAUUUCUCACACUCGAAUGCUACUAUGCCUCGAACGUAGCGGCUCAAUCUUAGAAACUCAACCUAACACUCAGUCACAAACUUAUCACCUUAAGUAAAAUUCAUGAAUUCACGCCUACGAGCGUCCACAUAACUCGUACCCAUAUAUUUUCCCUAAAAAAAAGUCUUAAAGUAGUCCUAGUUCAAACAAUCCAGUUGAGUACCCUCCUCAACCGACAACUAUCACUGAUAUACCUCAUCGCGAAGCAAAAAAAUUGCACCCUUCAAUUUCUGCUUAAGAGUGCAGUCAACGUUGUUCAUAAUCCUCUUGGUAUCCUCCAACCAAUACUCAGCCACAAUAGGGAUAAAUUUAGUGACGCCCCUAAACAAUUUAGCUCUAUUGGACCGGAGUCGUUCAAUUAUUGACCCAUGGCUUCCAAAUCCAAAAUGGGGUCCAAAAACCCUCUUCAACACUCUCAACAUGGCUUGCGACAGUGCGUCGUCCCUAGCUGAGCUGCUUUGAGACCCAGCCUCAGUAGCAGGUGAAAUCGGUGUCUCACUCAUAUCCAAAUUUGGCAUAUUGCCUAAAAAGAAAGACUCAGCUCGAGCCCCCUACGGUGCCCACCGCGCCCAUGAAUACCACGAUUGCGAGUUCCACGAGUGCUCAUCGUAUUUUCAGUUUUAUCUACAUUAUAAAAUUUUAUUCAUUUGUUCUAGUGUUUAUUAGCAGAUAUUUUAUGCUCAAGUUAUCAAAGGUACUUACAGGAUCGACGCCGAAGACUCAGUGUACGAUAUACUUACUCAAAUUGAUCCAAAUUAUUUGAAAACUAGUUUUUUUUCAAAGCAUAAUUUUGGAACCCAAAAUUUACAGCUUGAGUUUUGUAACCUGGCUCUGAUAUCACUAAAUGUAACACACCUAACUCAGCUUAGAUGUUAUGGCUGAAUCUAGGCAUGUUACAAAGAAAGGUUUUAAAAUUAUAUUUCUUAAGCUAAAUCGUAUCGUUUUAUUAGUUUACCAAUCAGAGUCUUAAUAUUAAAAAAAAUUGGGUUUAAAAAUAUAAUUUCAAACCAUUUUAAGUUAUCAAGAAUUUUGCAACGAAAGUUUGAAAAACAUUGAAUUCGAAACCAAGCUCGUGUUUUCAAAAACCAUUUAUUUACGUAAAGUGUUUUUGUCAACGUUGCGAAAAAGAAAGCAAAACAAAAUCCAAAUCCAAAAGUUAAAACCAUACAGUCCAGAGAGUCCCAAAUAUUACAACUCUCAAAGAAAUCAGAUUUUUAAAAAAAAUCGAUAACACUAAAUAAAAACAGUUCUUUGUCGAGAGGUCACCGUUGAGUCUCCGUCGCACCUACCCGCUUAAGCCUAUGGAUUACCUGAACAGAACAGACAAAAAUAGAUGUGAGUUUUCAUAAACUCAAUGUGUAACCUAACAGAAAUAGUCAUGCAACAUACAUAGAAUUUGAUAUACAGUCAGAUAUAGAUUCGGACUUAAGUACAUAACAGAUAUAGAUUCCCGAAUAAGAUAAUUAGAGCAGAUAUAUAGAAUCUACCCCCUCCUCUACACACCAUCUCCUUCCAUCAUAUCACAACAUAUGGGGUUAAAAACACCCACCCAUCCUUACACACCAUAUAGCAUCGAUGUGAUACAUAACAAAUAAUAUUAAGUUAAGCUGUCAGAAUGUAGGCGAAAGGUCGUCGUACAGAUCACUUCCUCCACAUAUGCAAAUCCCACCCCAAACACAGAUACAUAAUACAGAAUUAACAUGCUUAACAUGCUCGUAUAUAGAUAACAUAUAUAUUCAAACAGAACAGUCAGACAUACAUAUCAGAGUCCCAUUAAGAUCAGACUAUCAGAAUAUCAGGUCACGUGAAUUAGGGUUUGGUUGACCCUUACUGUCCCUACGGUAGACCCAUAGUCGAUCGGAACGACCCGUGCGACCCUAGGGAAAAUUUUAAAAUCAUGGGCCCACAUACUCGUGUGGCCCACACACCCAAUCUAGUUUAGCUCGUGUGGCUCACACCGUCACAUGGUCAUGUCUCGUGCACGACCACACCUACGACAUUUACAUGACCGUGUCUUGUACACGGCCAACCACAUGGUCGGGCACAUGCUCGUGUGGCGUCGAUAAUACCCUUUUUUAGCUUUCAUCGAACCUUAAUUUUUCGUGUUUAGGAUACACACCUGGUACGAUUUUGAUGUGAAAACACUCCCGAGACCACUAGAACCUAAAAUUGACAUAACAAGCUUUCAAAAUCAGUCUAAUUCCUUAAUUAAAUCGAACUAACGAAAUCAACAAUAGUGAAAUUCAAGUUUUCAAGACUUACCCGAUUCCCCGAACAAUUUCGACUAUAAUUCUGUAAGAGAAGAACCACGUUCCUCGCACUGUAGUCAAACCCAUAAAAUCAAACUAACAAAAAACAAAACUAACUUAAAUAAACUUUAACCAAAGCCCUCAAUCUAAGAAGAAACUCACCACUUUCCUUUACCUAAACAUACAAAGUAAUCAGAGAUCCGUAUUAUCGCAAUUUUAGAAGGGAGAUUUUGACAAAAAUAAGGGAAGAGAAAAAAGAUUUUUGGUGGGGAAAGAAAAGUAUAACAUCAGAAACUAGAAGAGGGAGAAAUUUUUGGGAACAUAGAAUAAAUUAAAAUAAAAAGAUUAAGUCAAAUCCCUUAACCAUCCAACUAAUUAAGAAUCCCACUACCAACAAACCACUAUCAACCGCCGUCGCCAAAAAUUAUCACUCACGCUCGCACAUUAAUUCGAACACAGGACCUCCAACAAAUUAACUCCUUACCACUCGAACCAGCAGGCUCAUUCUAAUAUGAGUUUACAAACAAUAUAAUAUAAGACCACCCGACAGGGAUAAGUUUUGAAAGCAUUUAAAUUUACAUUUCAAAUGAACCUGGACAAGAUUUUUUCUAGAUUCAUUUUUAAUGUGUAAAAUAAUAAUUUCUUUAUAAUUUCUAGGAUUUUUAUAUUUUUAAAACUUAGAUUAUUUUUAUAAUUAUCUUUAAUUAUUUAUAUUUUUACCAUUGAAAUAAUUUUAAUAAUUUUUAAUUUUUUUACUAUAUUUCAAAUUUAUAUCUGAAUGAAUCUGGACAAAUUUUGUUCAAGUUCAAAUUUAUUUGGACAACUAUUUAUUCAGGUUUAUUCUGGAUGUAUUGAUAACUUUAAUAAUUAAAAUUAAAAUUAAAAUUUUGAUAAAUUCAAAUAAUAAAAAUUAAAAUAUUUAUUUAAUAAUUAAAUAAACAAUAAAUAAUUUGUAGUUGGUGUUCUAAAUUAGAAAGAAGAAGUGAAAGGAAAUACAUAUGCUGUCAAAAGAUUACAUCAACAUUUGUCCACUAGAUACACUAUUGUGGCCAUUAAAUGACGUACCAUAAAAAAAUAAAAAGAAAAGAACAAACAACUCAAAAACCGAUUUAUAUAUAUUAUUUGUAUUCUUUUGACUUAAAAGCAUAAUUGAAGCUAAAACUAAAAAUAUUGCAAUGAUUUUAUAAUGUUAUUGAUAAAUAUAAUCUUUUUAGGAAAUUUUAUAUCUCAUAAAUAUAAUAUAUAUAACUCUUCAGGAUAAUUUAAUUAUCAAUUGCCGAGAAGUUUUUGCAAUCAAUUCUAUUAAAAAAUAUUAUUAUUUAAUAGGAGGAGACUUUUUAUUCUUUUAUAUUUAUGUUUUUAUUUUUUUUAAAUAAAAUUACAAUUUGCAAUUAUAAGUAAUAUAUCAGACAUUCUCUCACAUGUAUCUGCACGUGGAAACCACAAAUUUAAAACAUAAAUGUAUGUCUAAAAUAACAUAUAAUAGAUAAUGAAACUUAUGGUUUGAAACUAAUUAAUAAUAAUGCAUUAAAUAUGUACGUUAUUAGAAUAAGAAAAUUAGAUUAAUUUUCGUAUCAAGUUGUUGUCAUCAAUCUUGAGUCCUUGUCGAGUUAACUUGUGGUAGAAAUUCAUCUAUAUUAUUAUUUAAAUUCUUGACUAAGUUGGUGUCAUGAGUAAACCGGACACCAACUUGGUUAGGAAGUUAUGAGAAUACCCUUUUGUAAUUAAAAUAAGUAAUGUUAUUCGAGGCUAGUUUAGUCUUUUAACUUUAAAAAACAUUAAGAAUAAGUAUAUGGUAGGAUUCGAACCCACAUCAAUUGUAUUAAUAAAACUUUUAAUUUACCACUCAAUUAAAAUUUUAUUUUAAUAUUUUUAUACACUUUAGUUUUAUUAUGCACACUCUAUUACCUUCAUAAGUUGUAUAUCUAUACAUACUAUUAUUUAAACUCCAUACUGAGUUGGUGUCACUCUCAAUUGGGUCACCAACUUGGUUAAAAAAUUACAAGAAUGCCCUUCUUUUAUUAAAAUAAGUAAUAUUAUUUGAGAGUAUUUUAGUUUUGUCACAUAAAACAAGGAAUAAAAAUAUACAUACGGUGAGAUUUGAACCUAGGCAAAUUUUGCAUUAGUAAAACCUUUAAUUUACCACCCAACUAAAGCUUUAUUUUAAUAUUUCUUAUACAUUUUAAUUUACUAUUUAUUUAAAACACAUAUGUGUGUUUUAAAGUAACAUACAAUAAACAAUGAAAGGUAUAGUUUGAAACUAAUUAAUCAUAAUAACUGCAACACCCCAAAUUCGGUUUGAAAGUUUAAGCCAAACUUGGAGGAGUUACACCAACGCAUUGAAAACUGGUUUCUUUUCGGGAUUUUAAUUUUGAAAAUCAAAAAUUUGUUUUUGUCGAUUUACGUGAUUUUGUAGUUUCAUGUUAGAAAUUGACUGAUACUACAAAAUGACAUUAUCACAGAAAUGUUUUGCCGAACCAUGACGUCUUGUAACUUGGGUAGUCGUGAUAUAUUGCUAAGUGUUACUCACUAUGUAAUGACAUAGUUUCCAAUGGUGUUGGGAAAUCCAAUUUCUGGACAUCAUUUUCAUAAAUUGAGUCCAUAAAUAGUAAACAGGGGUUUUUGUGGAAUAAUUAUGUUGAUAUAGCAAAAUUUAGUUAAGUAAUUUUGCAGAAAAUGUGGUUAGUUAAGGCUUGAAGACUAAAUUGUAAAAAAAAAAGUACUAUAGAUUUUUAAUUAAAAAAAGACUUGGAGACUUAAAUAGAGAUUAUCCAAAGGAUCAAAUGGUAAAUAAAAAAAAUAAAAUAGAUGAUAAUGGGAUUGGAUGGUGGAUGCCAUUAGAUAAGUUAAUUAAAUAUUAGAGUUUAAUUAAUUAAGACUAAACUAACUAAUUAUGUUUAAUUAGGAUUUUUUUACAAAAAUAAUAUUAAAAAAUAGUUAAUUACAAGAAUGAGUUUGAGGAAAUUACUUACAAAAAUAAGUUGUUUGCUACAGUACAAACUGGUAUCUACAACACCACCAAAAAAAUUAGGUCAAUCAUCAUUCAAUCAUUACAUUUUUUUUAAAAAGAAAUUUGAUUGGUUUCAUCACUAUAUUAAGCCACACCAAUUUAUAUAUUUUUUAAAAAUACUCAUAUUUUCACAUAUGUAAACGGUGAGAGAAAAAAUAAAAAAAAUUCUGAAUGCCACCAAUGUCUCAAACGUCACCCUUUCAAUUUUUUUUUUUAAAUGUCUGACAUCAUACGGUGCCAUUUACGUACAUGAUUUUUUACAUUUACUAGUGGGGGAUAACGCUCCCUUUCCUGCCUUCAAAGAUUUGCUAAGAGUUAUUGGUCAAGGGUUUUUUUUUUAAUCAGUUUUUUUUAACUUCAGCUGUUUGUUUUCAUGAUAGAAUUUUUUUGAAUUCAAAAGGAUACUGUCUGACACAUUUACGGUACCUACUUAAAAAAUAAUGUUUUUCACUUUUUCUUGCAUCAAGUAUAUUUGUGAGAAUACAACUAUUUUUUAAAAAAUAUAUUGGUGUUGCAGCACCAAUAAAAGAUUUUUUUUUAAAAAAAACAUAAUGAUUGACUGAUGAUUGACCGAAAGUUAGGUGGUGUUGCCGGUGUGUCAGGCGGCACCAGUUUGUAUUGUAACAAAUAACUCAUUUUCGUAAAUAAUUUUCCCCAACUCAAUUCUGUGAUUAAUUAAUUUUUAUAUUAUUUUUAUAAAAAACGGUGAAUUACAAAGUCAUCUUCUCCUUCCCCAGAGCUAUCGUCCAAUUUUAGAAGAGAAAAGAAAGCUUUAAAGCCUAACUUGAUACUCAGCCACCUAUUUGAGUAAGUCUCUAGCCAUUUUUUCUUUGAUUUUUAUAGAAAUUGAAUAAUGAGAGCUUGAUUUAGCUAACCCAUGCAUCAAUUUCCCUUACUUCAGUUUAUUCGAUGAUGCACUUCGAUGCCAAUUUGUAACAUUCUCGACCCGGUUUAGGAGUUUCAACUAAGUCGGAGGCGUACAUUUGAUCACCGAGGUGAUCAUGUAAAGCCAUUCUUUUUGAAGUGUUGAUUUAUAUGGAAAACUCUCUUUUGUCUUUAGGAAGAACAUUCAUUAAUUUAAAUUGGUUUUACUUAACAAUUCAAUUAUAAUAUUAUUAAUGUGAAGAUUUAGGAAAAUGAGGUAAAUUUUUUAAUAAAGGACUUAUCAAAAGCUUUUAGUAUUUUGUAAAACCAGGGAAAACAUUUAAAGUAGUGGUUUUCUAAACUGAAAAGCAUGCAAAUUUCAGAGUAUUAACUAAGUGUCAUGCUUUAAAAUAAAUAAGCUAAACAACUUUACCCUAAAUAUAAAAGCAAGAAAUAACUAACAAUUACAACCCAAAAAUAAAAGAUUUGAAGAAAACUUUAAUAAAAACUUUAUAAUAAUAAUAAUAACAAAAAAUUAGUUGUUAUUCUGAGGUUCCUUCGAUGCCAUAUCGAGUUGUAGUUUCUUAUGUUACCUAAGAGGAAAAGAAAGGGGGAAUGAGCUUACAACCACUCAAUAUGAAACUAGCUUAUAAAUCAUUAUAUAUAAUUGCACAAAUAGAAAAACAUAGAAAUAAUAGCGAGUUAAGUAUAACAUUUGGAGUACAUAGUAAAUCAAUGUAUAUACAGUUUAUGUAUGAUGCAAUGCAAAUCCAAAUUUCCCACCCGUUUAUUUUAUCCGCCCUCAAGCAUCGCUCGCCACACCUAAAACACAUAUCAAAGACUAGCCAUCCCUGAUUUCCCGAUGAAGAUGGUCAUUUACAUGUCAUUUGUGAUGAUGAAUUUUACUACAAUAACUUACUAUCCUGGUUGUCUGAUUUUGAUAGUUUUUUACUACGAUAAACUAUCAUCUCAGUCGUCACGGUUUAGGAUUAGUUUUCAUUUUGCUAGGGAUACUAGUGCCAACAUUGGUUUGCAACAUGUGGAGAAUUUGGUCUAGCUGGCCUUGCAUUUGACGCACUGUAGUGUGCAACAAACGUAUCCCUUCUUCAAGUUUACUAACCUUAACGGUCAUAGGGGGUCAUUGUUAAAAGUAGGCUUCCUCUUAAGGUCUUGGGGUUUAUAGGCUUGUAGAGGUUGGUAAGGAGGGGCUGGUCUAUGGUGGUUGAAGUUUCCCACACCUUGGUUUCCUCCCCACCUAAGGUUGGAAUGAUCACACCACCUUAGAUUAUAGGUAUUUGAGUAUGGGUUACCACCCCUAGUUCCCAUAUAGUUCCCCUCAACCUAACUACCCUCUUGGUGAUUUCUCUAAGUAGCUUUUCAUUUUUGCCCCCUACAUGAGAUCCCAUAAGAUGGUGUUUGUUAGGAUUGAGGCAUAUUAGAGCUAAUUUCGAGGUUAUUAAACCUCUAGAGGAGUUGCCAUUGACUGCAUUCACAGUCAGUGAUUUAGCUGUACAUGUGAAUCGCUUAAUCGACCACAUCUAGGAGUUCAUUGCUAAAUGUUUAAUGGGUUGGCAACCUUUAGCGUAAGUUUUAGACAUGAACGGCCCCGCAGAUGCUCCUUCUAAGCUUGACCUCAAAUUCCUGUCCAAACCAUUAUAGAAAGUUUGUAAUUACAACCAAUCUUGUAGACCAUGGUGAUGACACUUAUCUAGUGUUACUUUGAAGCACUCACAUGCCUCAUACAACAAUUCUACCUCCAAUUUCCAGAAGUUGGUGAUAUUCAUUCGCAACUUCAUCUUUUUGCUCAGUGGGAAAUAUUUGGUGAGGAAUUGGUUGGCUAGCUCAUCCCACAUAGCGAUAGAAUUUAUUAGCUGCGAAUCCAACCAUAUAAAAGCGUCAUCACACAAAGAGAAAGGGAAUAACCAAAGGCAUAUAACGUCAUUGGAUACCCUGUUAUACUUAAAAGUAUCACAAAUGGUUAGAAAAUGUUAAAGGUAUUGUUGGGAUCCCCAUGCAUUGAGCCCCAGAAAUAGAGAUAACUUUGUAUCAUCUAAAUCCUAGCCGACUUGAUCUCAAAAUUGUUGGCAUUAAUGGCAGUUUGGUUGAUACUCCUCGCACAACAUCCAAGUUUGGCAUGAUAUAAUCUUUCGAUGUACGGUUCGCCAUUCGUCUCGAUCAGAUAGGGGUUCGUGUUUCUCUAUGUUCAGAGGGCCUAGAGGUGGAUAUUCAAAUAAAAGAUUGUCAAUCGGUGGAUCAACAAUCAGUGAUUCUAUCGAUAGGUGACCCUCUCUUGAGGGUUGUCCUCAUCUUGCGUUGGAUAUUAUCUUUUCCGACUCGAGAUCAAAUGAGAUUAAAUCUUUGUUGCUCCAAGUCAUACAUUGAGAAAUGCAACCACAAGAAACACGGGUUAGUCAUGAAAUUAACUAAACAAAUAAAAAUAGAAAUACACAAAGAAGUAAAGCGCCGUAUUUAUAAACCUAGAUUUCACCAAUUGUCUUCCUGGCAAAACAUGAGAAAAUCACAACAAAUCAACUCAUCACACACACAUCUCCCAAAAACUUGAUUGCGCCACAGCGUACGAACUCCUAGCAAAUAAUUAGCACAAAAUAUAAGAAAUUAAAAGUGACUUGACUGCAAGUGUGAUAGGUCAAUUGUAAUAUUUGUAAGUGUUAUAAUGGAACACUUUGAGCUUUCCAAGGAUCAAACCCAAGAGAGGUCAAAGUUAAUUACGCUAAACUACCCUAAGGAGGACUAAAUUGAAUAACAAUAAAAAGUAUACAAAUAUAAUUCAAUGAGAUAAAGUGGUCGGUUGAUAUCCAUAUUUCUAAUUAAUUCUUGGAUUAGGGAUAUAAAUUGCUCAAACUCCUAAUUAGUCCAAUUUUACCUCUCGAUUACCAUUUUACCUAAUUAUACGAUUUAGUCUGAUUUAUCUCCCGACCUCACUAAACUAAGUCGGGUCAAUCAAAUUGGCUCACAAUAGGAUCUCCUUUCGGUCUCACCUAUCCAAAUGUUCACGUAGAGGCGUCAAUUCUAGGUUUUGAAAUCUAUUCAAUUUAAUCCGAUUUUUAUGAUUUACUCUUUGACCCAAAAAUUAACCAUGCAAUAUUUCAAUCAACCAACCACCAUAAAACUUAGUUACUACUCAUCAUCACAAGACAAAGACCAACCAAUUUCAAGCUAAAAUGAUUGGUCAAAUAACCACAAAAAGAUAAGUUUUAGAAAUGUUUAGUGACUCUUGAAGGAUCCUUUGAUGAGGAUGAUGACAACAAGAAAGAUGAUAAAUCUACAACCAAAUAUGAUUUUUUUUUUUUUUUUUGAAAACUAACAAGAAUAAAAUCUGUUGAAUGUUUUAAAUAGAAGUUGAAAAUGACAAGGUUGAAAAUGACAAGGUUGACUAUUGUAUCUACUUGGAAAAAAAAAAACUAAAACUACAGUAAAAGUAAUGACAAGGUUGAAUAUUGUGUCAGAAUUUAAUGCAUGAGUUAAAUAAAUGUUCCUUGAUAAAAGAAAUCCGUGAAAAAAUCAAUUGAAAAAAAGAGUCAAAUCGGUUUAACUUUAUAUGCAUAAAUUGACUUCAUUUGAUUUUAAAUUUAACUUCAUAUAUAUAUAUAUAUAUAGUUCAAUCUUAUUAGUCCGUUGUACCCAAAUAAAUUCUUUAUAUAUAUAUAUAUAUAUAAAAACUCAAUGAGUAUUUAUAACCUUAGUUAAAGAUUUAAGAUUUAAUAUCUUUAGCCAGUUGAGUCUUAAUUUAAUUGAUAUGAGUAUUAUUAUCAAUGCAGGAGAAUGUGAAUCCGAAUAUGUUAAAACGCAUUAUUCUUCUAUUUAUGGGUGGAGAGGGACUAUAGGUAAUUUUAAGUAUUAUCUUAAAAAAUAUAUAUAUGAUCAAAAUUUAUAAUAAGAUUAUUCAAAAAAAUGAGACUUAAGAUCCUUAAAAUUCACUACUAAUAAUUUUGAUCUGUUUAGCAAAAAAUAUUUUGUUUAUUAAAAUUUUCAAAAAUGUUUUUAUUAUAUUUAUAUAUAAGAAUAUUUGGUACAUCACUAUGGAUGAAACAUGCCAUUUUUCAAUUUUUAUUUACCCAAAAUUAAUAUUAUUUUUCAUAGUUUUUAAAUUGAUUCCUUAAAGAUUUUCUAAAAUCCUAAACAGGGCAAAAUUCCAUUAAAAAAAAUCCAAAAGAGAGCGGCUCAAAUAAGUAACAAAAAGAAUUGAUUAUUGAGUAGGAUUAAAAGUAGCAUGACAAACAUUUUUUUAUUAAGUAAAAUUUUAUAUCUAAAUAAGUUAGUAUUUUUAAAUAAUAUAUAGAGUCAUAGCAGUCUUACUUUACACUGUUAUUUCCUAAGAAAAUAAUUUCGGUGAUAAAAAGAUUGGUCAUAGAGACUGCAGGGGGAUUGAGGACUUAAAAUUCUGUCAAGUGUAUGUCAAAAGCAAAGAAAAGAUUUAAUAUCACUCAUGCCCUCAAACAUUAGGCAUCAAUCAUUUUCAUCCUUACAUUUCAAUCAAUGAAGAAUAAACCAGAAGUAUAAACUCAAUUUUAACCUUUUCUAUAUACAUUACAUAAGAUAACAUUAAAUCAAGUACAUUUUUUUAUUAACUACUGUAAUUAUUUCUUUUUAAACACAUUUCAUAUUAAAGUAAUAGUUAAGAUUUAAUUUAUACAUUACAUAAGAUAUUAUACAUUUCUAAACAUUUAUCUAUUAAUAUUUUACAGACAUAACAUUUCUUUUAAUCUAUUUCCAAUUCUCAUGCAAUGGGUCCUACAUUCACUUUGUUUUCCAUAUUUGUUUUCUUGAAUUUAAGUUCUCCUUUUUUGUAUUUCUCAUGCACUUUGUUUUCUUGAAUUUAAGUUCUCCUUUUUUGACUUCAAAUAUCACCACUAUUUUUCUUACCUAUAAAUACAUGCAACAAUUGCACUCUUAUCCUCACACAAAUUCUGUGCCAAAUUUCAAGAGCAAACCAAAAAAAGGCUGCAAUUUCAGCUUUUCAAUAUUUGCUUUUGAUCAAUCGAAAUGGCUUCACAAGAUUCUCAAAUGCCUUCUUCAUCACCCCUUUCUUCCAAUAAGGAUGAAAUGCGUCCCAAAGCCGAUUUUCAGCCUAGCAUUUGGGGAGAUCUCUUCCUCAAUUGUCCCGACAAGGUAUACAUACAUAUCACCAUAUUGAUAUAAUCUUAACAUAUUAUUUGUUUAAUUAUUUAGUGAUUCAAUGUGAAGAAAAUUUUCAUUAUUUUGAGCAGAAUAUUGAUGCUAGAACUGAAAAACGCCACCAACAAUUGAAAGAAGAAGUGAGGAAGAUGAUUGUGGCACCAAUGGCUAAUUCAACCCAAAAGUUAGCCUUCAUUGAUUCAGUCCAAAGACUGGGUGUGAGUUACCAUUUCACCAAGGAGAUCGAAGAUGAACUAGAGAAUAUCUACCAUAACAACAAUGAUGCCGAGAACGACCUCUACACCACAUCUCUUCGAUUCCGACUACUCCGAGAGCAUGGAUACAAUGUUUCAUGCGGUAAUUAUUGGAACAACAACAUAGUGUUUUUAAGUGUCUAGAGAAUAUAAUAGCAUGGAAUGUUUGAUAACGAUAU